This 61325-nucleotide long non-coding RNA is filed under the name Ananas comosus (pineapple). RNAcentral's name for it is "long non-coding RNA (ACOM_LNC019315)". The stretch from base 56237 to 56310 matches the Rfam family "tRNA". The record is from RNAcentral. Lineage: Eukaryota; Viridiplantae; Streptophyta; Magnoliopsida; Poales; Bromeliaceae.
CUAAGAUACAUAUGCCUACAUAUAUAUGAAAUAAAAAUAUUCUUACGAGUCAUAAAUUCUACUAGCGUAGGAACCCGCACGAUGCGGCGAGUAGAAAUAUUUUAGUAAAAAUUUACGGUCUACAGAUUUAACAAACAAAUAAAAACGUUAAAAAAAAUAGAAAAAAUAUUUAAAAUAUUAUGAAGGGUAAUAAAUAAUAAAAAAAAAACUAAAGAGGCUCAAAUUCAUAUUUAACUAAUCAUAUAAAGAUAUUUAUCUAUCUUAUCAUCUUUUUUAAUUCAAAUUAGAUUUCUCUUAAAAGCCAAUUAUUAUUGCAUUUGUCUAUGGACAAUCAAAUUGUCAUGCCAUCAAAAAAUUAGUAUGAAAUGUAAAGAAAUAAAAGAAAAAGUAUGAAGAAAUAUAUGAUAGUCAUACAAAUAAAUUUAAAAAUAAUAAUAGUUAGUUUUUAACUACCGUUAAAUUGUAAAAGCCCACUUUUCAUAUAUCUAUAAGCCAACAAUCUAUAUACUAUGUUAGUUUGUUGAUGUAAAUGCUAAUUUAAUCUAUUUUUUUUUAUAAUUUUACUCCAUCAAUUUUUGUGUAACUCAAAUGACUUAUUCAUGAACAGUAAUAUGCAACCAAAAAAAAAGAGAGAGAAAUAAUACAUAUUCAUCCCACAUAGAAAGAGAGGAAUCCGCAUUAGCAGCUUCAAUUAGACAAUUCGAAAGUCCCAUUCGACGACUUCCAUUUUGCCAUUCCGUAUCGAAAAAAACCUCCCAAUAUCAUCUAUGGUCUUCUCGAAAGAAAAUAAAGGAGGGCCUUAGACCAAGAACAGUCUCUUUCCUUUUAUAUAAAUAAAUAAAAUAAGGAAGAGAGCUUUUCCCCAAGAGGAAAGAGCAGGAAUUUCGGGAUGCUAUUGAAUAUGAUAAUAGUAAAAAAACUCACUUUCUAAAGCAAAGCUUUCUAUCCUCAUUUAGGCUAUCGAUGAAGCUUUAGUAACUAAGAGGCCUUGGCUUUUAAUUAUUACAUGCAUACCACUAUUUAUUUGGGAGUUUGGUAACUAAGAGGUCAUGGCUUUUAUAAUAUGCAUACCACUAUUUUGUAUUUGGGAGAUGAGGAGGGAGGGGUUUUGGAAGAUGAGGGGUCUCGGGGGUUGGGAGGUGAGAGGGGAGCAGUUUUAGGGAUUCAUUUAGUUUUAUUUCUUUUAUGUUAUAUGCAUAGAGUUACAUGCAUAUAUUUAUAUUUCUUGUUGUAGUGUAUAUAUAUUGCUUUGAAAUGUUAUAACUCUUUUUAGUUAUACGUAGAAGAUGGUUUUUAAGAAUUAACAAUAAAUUCAGAUAUUAAUAUUUUAAUUAAUAAUAAAUUCAGAGAAUAAACCACCAUUAAAAAAUAUAAAAAAUCUAAAAAUAGGAGAGCUUGCCAUGUCAUUAUUUUUAUUGGGGAUUCAUAUAGAGUUAUAGAUAGAUUGCGAGAAUAGAUUUUUUUUUAAAAAAAUAGUUUUUAGUUAAAUUUUGGCUAAAUUACAGAAAAUUUUCAUGUUAAAAUCCGAUUUUUCACUUUCCCCCUCUGUCAUUUAAAAACCUACACUUUACCCCCUUGUAAAAUAAAAAAUAUUUCCAGGAGGGUACGGUGUGAACUGUGAUGAUAAAAUGACCAUUUUGCCUCUCACUAUCUUCACAGUAGAGAAAACUGAGGGCAUUUUUGGCAUAAAAAUAUAUAAUAAUAUUUUAUAAACGGAAUUCUAACAGAUUACUAACGGCAGGGGGCGAAGUGAACAUUUUUAUUUUAUAAGAGGGCAAAGUAUAGACUUUUAAAUGACAGGAGGGAAAAGUGAAAAAUCGAAUUUUGACAUGAGGGUUUUAUGUAAUUUAGCCUUAAAAUUUAAAUUUUGUGAUCUAAACAAGCCCUACAAGCAUCCUUCAUAUCUCCUCUGUUACUGUAAACCUCUCAUCAGAGUAGUAUAAGUGAUUUCAUCUGGGGCAAUUGUAGUUCCUCUCCAUUUCUUUUUUAGAAUACUAUAAGGUUUUGUAUUGAUUGAUCAUUACAUAUUACAUAAGGGUACAAAAUAAAAAGAUCGAAAAAGCAAAAGUAAAUUAUUGAUAGAAAGCACAAUUCUACUUUUUUCUGUUUUCAACCAGAAAUCAAAAUCGGAAUGAAUAGUUUUCGUUUGUGGAUGUUUGAUACGCGAAAAUCUUAUGACGAUUCUGAUUCCCAAGUGGAAUGCAAAUCCUCCGAUUACUCCUUUCUCAAUUCAGCCAAAAAAGGCCGGAUUGGAAGUUGAAAGUUUGUUCUAAAAAUAUGUCCACGAUAUUUUUAUUUUUAUUUUAAAUUAAAUUAAUUAAUUUACUUUAAUUUUUAAUUAAAAUGUAGGUUUAAAUUUUAAAAAAUAUUUUUAGAUUUUAAUUUGUACGUAAUUAAAAUUUUAAUCCAAUUAAUCAAGCAUUAUGAAUUUUAUUUAUGAAUUAAUAUUUCAAUUUCAAUUUAAAUUUUAUGUUCAAGUUUUAAAUUUUAAAUUUUAUUUAAACUUUAUGGAUUCAAGCUGAAAUUUAAAUUAUUUUAAGUUUGAAUUUGAAUCCAAUUGAAAAUUAGCUUUAUAUUUUGAAUUGUCCACUCAAUUUUAAAUUUUAUUUUUUUAAAAAAAUAUCUUUAAAAUUUUGACAUAUUAUUUUAAAAUUUUAAUAUAAAUUUUUAAUAUUUAAUUUUUUAGCUUGAAAUUAAUUAUAAUUUCUUAUUUUUAAAUCCAAAUGACUUUUAUAAGGGCUUGUUUAAUCCACUCCAAUUUUCAGUUUUUGAUGUUGCAAAAGAAAAAAAAAUAAUAAAAUAAUAUGUUAGAAAAAUUAAUAAUUUUUUUAUAGCUAUACCAAAACCUGACAAACGAGCGGAUUGAGCAAUUUGCCGGCAAGUUAUCGUAUACAUAAGUCAUGCAGGCAUGAAUAAAAUUUAUUUAUAAAGUUUUGGAGAGCCAACAUUCUUAUGCAUAUCCGAGGAUGUGCGGUAGGCAGCAGAUGGGCAUGUGGGCUAUCUAUAAGAUGCUCUUGUUUAUUGUUUUUAUGCUUUCCAAAUACAAAAUGCAAAUAUAUAUAAUUUUUUAAAAAUCAUAACAUAAUUUUUUUUUUGAGAAAUAAGUAAAUAUUCUACCUGCUUCGUUUAUUUCAUUUAGAAAUAAAUUUAGCUAAAAAUGUGAAUCAAUUAUGAUUCAAAUUUAGGACCUCAGGUACCAACUACUAAACUCUUUACCACUUACGCUCAGAACGAUCAAUAAAAUUAUAACAUAUUUAAACAUUUAAACUAUCACAACAUGAAAUAAAUAAUAUAUAGAAUUUUAAAAUGACACGAAGAAAAAUUAGAGUUAGAAUCCUAAAGAUAGAUAAAAUAAAAAAGUAUUCUUUCUUAACUUUUUUUAAAAAAUGGGUAUAUGAGGAGUCGCAAAAAAUGUCUAUGAUUAAAGGAAUACCUAUCCUUUUUACUCCUGAUUUUUUUGGAUAAAAUAGUUAUAAUCUUAUAUUCAUAAAUCUGCCGAUAAUCCACAAAUAUUCGCGGAUAUGGAUAGAGAUUUAGGGAUCAUGCUCUACUUGAAUAGCAAUUUUAGAAGACUUUUUUAUUUGGCUAAACAAUCCUAUAUAAAGUCUAACAUUUCUCCAAUUAAAUAAAGUUGGCCAAAGGUCCAAUAAUUUGUCCCUAAAUUUUAGAGGUCCUCCAAAUGACACGUGGCAAAAUUAUUUCAAAUGAUUGGUUAGGUGGACAAAGUAAUCUACAUCAAAAAUCAAAAAUAAAGAUGCUACAAGGAUAAAAAGAAUAUCCAUAUAUUAUUUUAAUGACAUAACAUCCUUGUACUUGGUAUAUCCCUUGUGUCUCUUUCCAAAAAAAAAAAAGAAAGAUAUUAAGUUUGUAACCAUUAGGUUUGAAACUUGCUCUUGUAUUAUAGAUAUGGACUACUUCCAAGGAUCAUUUUUAUUUCCAUAUUUUUUAUUGUUUUAUUUUAAUCUUAUCGUUUAAUUUGAAUUGAUUUUGCCAGUACGUUACGCAGUUGUUUUACAUGCACACUAGAUAAUAAACUAAUUCUAUUAUUAGAUUUCAAAUAAUGAAAAACUAGUUUUUUCAAUCAAAAAAAAAGAAAAAGAAAAGCUCAUCCAUAGAUCUUACAAAAAUUAAAUCAUUUGGUGGGCAAGGGAGACAAAAAAGGCUACUUCAUUCUUAAAUUUUAGAAUAUCAAAGUAAUUAUUUUUCAUUUUUUAAGAAAAUUUUAGACUAAUUUAUAGCAUAUUUCUAUGCCACAUUUAGCGCAGAGUCUUAUGGUCAUCACAUAAAAAGUCAUAAUAUAAAUUACAAACAAUUCAUAACUUUCAGUACAACUCAUGCUUCUCAAUGACGGGGAUUAUUUCCAUUUUUUUUUAUAAAAAUAUAUUAAUUUGGUGAUUCAGUGUAUCUGUUGAUUAAAUAUGACCUAACCUUCUAAAUAUAUAUUCCUGAACUCGUAAAAAAAUUUAAAUAAUUUGGUAGUUAGCAAUCUUUGUUUAAAAUAGUUGAUUAUUGUCCUAAGACUCUUGCUUCCUGGUCAGAAAUUCGAAUCCCUAUUUUUGUAUUUCUAUAAACAAAAUUUAAAAAAAAAAAUAAAAAAAUAGAGAGAAAGGGUACUAUGUUUAGUAGUUGUUGGUGGAGAGCCUAGAAAUGUCCAUAAAAAUUUGGCUUCUUCUCUCUAAGCUCCAAAAACUUUGUAGGAGAAUGUUACAAGAAAAAAAGAUUGUAUGUAUCAAAUAUAAAAUGAUAAAAGGAUCUCGACGGAUCCGUUUUUACAAAAUCUGAAAACAAAUCCAAACAAAAAAUCAAAUUUCAAAUCGUAUCCGAACCAGCCCGAAUAUAAAAAAAUUGAAACUGCCUCACAAAAAUAAAAAUUAUAUCCAAAUCUUUAAAAAAAUCGAAGACAGCUAUUUAAUAUAUUUAAUAUUAAAUUAAAUUAUAAAUACAUAUUUAUUAUUAAAAUAAAGAUAUAAAAAAGUUUUAUUAUAUUUUAUAUAUAUAUAAUUAAGUUUUUCUAUGGGUUAAAUUCUUAGUAUGGUUGUGGGUUUGAUUUGGUUCAAAUCUAAGCAAAAAUCAUAACGAGAACCAAUUAAUUCCUGUUAUUAAAAUCAUUCCAUUUAUGCUUCGAUUAAAACUGUCUCAAUUGGGUUUGGAUUCGGAUAAAUUAUCGGAUAUCCAUAUCCAUCAACAUCGUUUGGAAGUUGAAGUGAUUCAAUCAUGCAAGAAAACCCACUCCUCCACUCUUCUUUGCUCUUUGGCUUCUCAAACCAACAUUUCAUAACUCUCUCUCUCUCUCUCUAAAUUCACAUGUUUUGUUCUCUAAUAAUGGGUCUUUUUAGAAGAAUCAUCCCAUUAAUUUGUUUAGCUCUAUUAAGCUAUGCAAGUGCUUGCUCUAAUGGAGCAUGCAAGGUUAGUGCUCUCUCUCUCUCUCUCUCUCUCUCUCUAGAUUAGUUUGAAAUAGAAAUAAGUAAAAUUGUAUGGAAUCUCUCUCUUCUAUGAACAAAAAUUGUAUGGGCACCGUCCCCAAACUAAUCCCCAACUAUUAGUUUGGGGACGAUGUGGAUGGGCGCUGUGUGGUGAUCGCGCACGUAUCUCAACCUUCUCUUUCUCUCCAUCUGCUUCUUUUUCUCUCUCUAAAAGCUCAUGGCGCACGAAUUUUCUUUUUCUUUUUCUUUUUUUUCUAUUUUUGUUCUUUCGAUAGGCGCGCGCUGACCACGCGGCGCCCAUUCACAUCAUCCCCAAACUAAUAGUUUGGAAACGAUGCCCAUACAAUUUUUGUCCCUCAACUGUAGGCCAUUUUGAAAUGUUCCCUCAACAGUUUUUUCUUUUUUUCUUUGCAUUUGUCUAAAUCAAGUGACACUUCUUAGUUUUCGAUAUUUUUAUUUGAGUGAAUCCAGUUGAUUAAUUUUUUUCAAAAAUUUAUUUAAUUUAUUAAUCAUUUCAUCAAAUUUGAUUAUUUAAUUAUUUUUCAGCAAAUAAAUUAGAAUAAUUAAUAGCUAAUAGUUAAUGGAACCAUCAUAUGAAAUUUUUUUUUAUUUAACCAAUUAGAAUAACUGAUUUAAAAAAAAAAAAAGAUAAUUAGUCAACUAUUUUAUUUUAUUUUAUUUUAUAUUAUAUGAUAAUAAAUUCCAUGUACAUAAAUGUUUCACAGCUACAUGACAGUUGCUCCUCUAAUGGGGAUUGUGAGCCCGGUCUAUAUUGCUUCAAUUGCCAGCUCGAAUUCUCUGGUUCACGGUGCGUCCGGUCCACUGUUUCUAACCCCUUCGAGAUAGUUGUAAUUUCCCCCUCCCAUGUUUUCAUAAUUUACUUUUAGUCCCUCUCUUAUUUAUUUCCUGUUUCUGCAUCUUUCUAUACAUAUUUUUGCACUCGUUUAGUAGUAAAAUGGCUUCUGAAUGAAUAAUGUGGAUUGGGCAAAUAAACUUAUAUAUCCCUAAAAUGUUUGAAAAAUUAUGAAUUCGCCCCGUGAAAUUUUGAUUCCCAAAGAGAAAUACUAUAUGUAUGUGCAAAAAGUGAGUGUAAAUCUUACAUGCUAUCUGUCCAAACUCGAAGGCACAAUGUUUUCACACUAACGUUAUAAUCUUUUUUUUAAUAUUAAAAAUCCAAAAGAGGUGUUUGAACUCUGGGAUCAGAGGUUUAUAAGAUUUACACCUGAUUAUCAGGUGCCCAUGAUCAAUCUGAUAAGAAGGGAUAAGAAUUAAUCUUAAUAUCCCUACUUAAGUGCAUGAUGGAUAUCAGAUGAAUCAUGCCAUGAAUACUUUGUUGGUGUGCAAGAUAUAUGAUUCUAUUAUUUGUAGCACCUAGUUUUAGUUAACAUGUUAUCUAGCAUAUUUGCUCAUUCCAUUGCUUGUAACACUACACUGUUUCUAUAAUUUGGUAAUCCUUUGAUAACAGAACAACUCACUGCCAUUCAACAAGUAUGCAUUUCUCACCACACACAACUCCUUCGCCAUCGACGGAGAGCCGUCACACACCGGAGUUCCGCGCGUCACCUUCGACAAUCAAGAGGACACUGUCACACAACAGUUAAAUGUAUGUGUGUAAUGUCUCACACAACACACAACACACAACAGUUAGAUGUUUCUAUUUUUCAUUUUAUACCAAAAAAAAAAAAAGCCUUCUUAGUGAUUAAUAUUGUUUAAGUUUUAUUUGUAGAAUGGUGUGAGAGCCUUAAUGCUGGAUACUUAUGACUUCAAAGGUGAUGUGUGGUUGUGCCAUUCAACAGGGGGGAAAUGCUAUGAUUUUACUGCAUUUGUAAGUAUAAUUUUAACUUGUAUAUUUUAGUACCAAUGUAUUUUGAUUUGCAAAAUUUUCGCUUUUUAUAGAGUCAUUUUGCUUUCAUAUAUGUUAGUCAUGCUUAAGUUAAGGCACUGAUUGUUUUUGUAAUCUUAGUAUCUGAUUUCUAUAUAAUAACUCAAAGAUGUUGUUUACAAAGAUUAAUUAUCUUUGCAGGAACCUGCUCUAGAUACCAUGAUGGAAAUCGAAGCCUUUCUGUCGGCGAAUCCAUCUGAAAUCGUCACGCUGAUAUUAGAAGACUACGUACAAGCUCCGAACGGACUGACGAAAGUAUUCAACGAAUCAGGAUUGUUACAGUACUGGUUUCCUGUUUCGAAAAUGCCCCAAAAUGGCGAGGAUUGGCCUCUCGUGAGCGACAUGGUCGCGAACAACGAGCGCCUCCUCGUAUUCACUUCGAUCCGGUCGAAGCAGGAGACCGAAGGGAUAGCCUAUCAAUGGAACUUCAUGGUCGAAAAUCAAUGUAAGAAACUUCUCUUCUUUCACUUUUUUCACUGUCUGUUUGGAUGCGUGAAUAUCUUGUUCCGUAUAUAUCUUUCUUUUAUGAUAGUUAUUUAGUCGGGAGUAUGAAAAGAUGUUUUACAGUAAUUGCAAUCUUUUUUGGGGGGACCUUAUUAGAUAAGUCGCGUUAUGACGGAACAUGCUAGAAAUUAUCGCCGAAUUACUUAUUCCAGCAUCCAAAUACGCCCCCGGUGAUGAAUUUUGGCAAUUGUUAAAGUGAAACUAAACAAGGAGUUACAAAACUAUCAAUGUUAUCAUAAUUGUUCUUCAUUUUAUACUUACAUUACCUGAUCUCUAAUCUGAAUACAUUAUCAAUGUAGAUGGAGAUGAUGGAAUGGAAGCUGGGAAGUGUUUUAACCGCGCAGAAUCGUCGCUGCUCAACGACACAACGAAAUCUUUAGUUCUCGUAAACUAUUUUCCGACGAUUCCUGUGAAACUGACGUCGUGUUUGCAGAACUCAAUGGGCCUUGUGGACAUGCUCAAUACCUGCUACAUCGCAUCGGGUCACCGCUGGGCUAAUUUCGUAGCAGUUAACUACUACAAGGUAAGUAAUUUACAGCUGUUCAGAAGAUGUUCACAAAAUCUGCAGUUUGUUGAUUUAGUUUUGGAUUAACUGGUUGCAAAUUUAGUCCCUAAGUGUUGGCCUCAAUCUGUUAGAAUUGAAACUCUGCAGAAGAAAUUCAAGUCAGAACUUAAACACAUUGAAUUGUUAAAAUUGAAACUCCGAGGAGACGACAUAUAUUGCUGAAACCAAAACUCUUGUCGCGAAAUUCGAAUCGGGGUCAAUCUUUAGGGACUAAAUUAUAGGCAAUAUUGAUUUUUGUUUGAUAAUUUGCGGAAUUUGUGGGCAUUUGAGCAUUGAGAAAUAACCUUAAUAAUCAAAAUUUUGCAUUGAUUUUGUAUAGAGGAGUGAUGGGGGAGGUGCAUUUCAAGCCACUGACAUGCUAAAUGGGAGGCUUUUGUGUGGAUGUCAGGAUGUUCAUAAUUGUUCAGUAAGUUUCCAAAUUUUUAUCUGAAUUUUAUGUAGCUUUAUAAUAUUCUUGACAAAAUUUACAUGUGGGGAAUCACCAUUUACAUUUUCUAGUUCAAAAAAUUUCCUAAUUUUGAAAAUGCAAAGCAUACUAAAUUGAUAGAAGCUAAUAGAAAAUAUGGUAAACAAAAAUAUUAGGGAGUGUUAAAUAAUGCGAAACAACUGUAAGUUGCCCUACAGCUUAAGCUACCAAAAAAUAGUGUUCCUAAUAUCUAUAUUUAAUACUCUCCUUUAGGUCUGGACUCUGAGACUUUUUUGAUAGACCCACGACACAGAUUUGAAUCAAAUUAAGAGAAAAUUAAAUAACGCUAAGAGUUUGACGGAAUUUGAAAUCAGAAUCUUAUACUCUGAUACCAUGUUAAAAAAAUGUGAAACAAUCUUUUGUUCUCCAAUAGCUUAAGCUAUUAGAGGAUAGUGUUAUCUGAAUGAAAAUUUUCUAUGAUUCUCAAAUUUUAUGAUUGUAACAAGGAUAAAUUGCACUAGUAGUCCCCGAACUUCGAGGCAAGUUUUAUUUUUGUUAAAUAUAAAAAACUUUGAACAUCGUUUUCUAACAGCUUAAGUUUUUAGAGCACAACGGUUGUUUCACAAUUUUGAUCCCUGCACUUUUGAUUUCGACAUUCAAGACAUUGAACUUUCAAUAAGGUUCCAUCUUAGACCCUUAACUUCCAAAAAAUUUCAUUUUGGUCCUACCUUACAGCACAAAUUGUUGCGUGCGCCUAAUUCAUAUGCAUAUUCGUACACCAUAAAUUCGUCGGUUCUUUACCACAUCUCAUACUUUCAAUUCAGCAAUCGAAUUUAUAUGUAGACGAAAAUUCUAACUUGGCGAGAGAUAAGUUUGAAGCAUGAGAUAAUCUUUGAAUUGAAAGUAUGAGAUAGAUGAAGAACGCAGAGUUUAUAUUGUACGAACAAGCAGAUGAACUAGAUAAAAAUAAUGAUUUUAGUUUAAUGUAAGGACUAAGAACUAAAAUAAAAUAAUUUUGGAAGUUUGGGGAUUCAAUUAAAACCUUACUAAGAAUUCAAUGUCUCGAAUGUCGAAAUCGAAAGUUUGAAAACCAAAAUGAAACUUCACUCAAUGUUCGGGGACUACUAAUGCAAUUUUCCCAAAGAUAUGUUUAACACCACCCUUUUUUUUUUUUUUUUUUUAAGGAUAAUUGUCUACAUACUCUUCAAAACUUUAAUAAUAUUUCAUUUACCUUAACUUUUUUUUCCUGCAGCAAUGAUCUACACCUGGAGCAUGCUCUUCUACAAUAACCCAAUAGGAAGAGAAAAAAAAAAAAAGAAGAAGAAAAGAUUAUAACAUUGUGUGUGGUAUCUCCAUUUUCUUGUUUAUAAUUAUAUAAUUUAUGUAUAAAUUUGUUGUGACAGUUUUUUAUAUUUUUUUUAUGACAGUUAAUAUCUAUUAUAAUCAAUUAGUAUACCUUUUUCUAAUAGAAUUAAAAAAAAAAGAAAAAUUUUCAAAUACCACCUUGUGGUUUUGUAUUUUUUUUAUUUUAGUACCAUAAUACUAAAUUGAUACACUUUAAACUAUAGAAUACUAAAGUAAGAAAAUGCGAAAUCACAAAGAUGGUACUUGAAGUUUACCCCCAAAAAAUGCAUGUUCCAAAGUCAAAGCAUGAUCACAAAAUCAAAAUUGAUUUUGGGGCUUUUCCUUUUUUUUUUUUGGUGGAAAUUUUUGCCGUUCAUUUCACGGAUUUGUAGUAUUUUAUAAACGCUCUAUAUUUUUUAUUCGAUAUUCUAAUAAUAUUAUAGCUUUUAGUCCAUUAUGAGGCACAAAAUUGCCAGGACCCCCUCAAUAUUUUAAAAAUUUUAUAUAGUUCUCUAACUAAUUAGGUAUAGUAAAGAUCAAAAUAUUACAAAUUUUAGUCUUUAGGAGGUCAAAUUAAUUUUUUUUUUCUUACAAAAAUUCAGUACAUUUUUUUCUCUCCCCAGAUUGGUUAAAGUCACGUUAAUUCUUUCGGUUGUAACCGUAAUAUCUGAAUAAGUAUUUUGGACUACAAAAAUCGAACUCCGGAACAAGAUAAAGAAGCACUUUUCAUAAAUUCUUCGGUCGUGAAUAUUAAAAAAGAAAAUUCACCUAAACGUUUUUUGUUGAGAGAAUGGUAGCAUACGAUAUGCUUCGUUUAUUUUUUUAAAAAAUAAACUCAGUUAGAAAUGUGGAGCAAGUAGGCUUCAAACUUAGGACCUCAGAUACCAAUCAUCAAGUUUUUAGCCAGUUGCAUGCACUAGUAACUGUAAUAGACUUUGAACUUAGAAACUUCAAACUUGCAUGUAUUUGUUGUUAGCAUAAAAAAAAUUGUGAGAGAACGGUGUUUAAUCUUCGACGCUCCCCCCUCAAGUUGACCUCACAAUUUUUUAAUAGACUCAAAAUAUAGACUUCAAUUAAUUGAAAGAAAACAAAAUAAAACUAGAAGUCUGGUAGGGUUUGAAUUGGAGACCUCAGACUCUGACACCAUACGAAAAGAUGUAAAAAUAAUUAAUUUCUUCAAACACUUUAAAAAAGUUACUAGAGAAUGAUGUUUCUAAUAUUUAUAUUCAUCCAAUAGUACCAUCUAAAACAGUUCAUAUCGAUGUAUCAAUUAUUAAAAAUAUCGGAAUUGUUUACAUUACCAUUAAUUAGAUUUUUUUUUUUUCUGGUAAACUUUAAUUUCAGAGUUUCACUGAGAUGUCCAUGAGUAACUUUUAUCAGUGCCCAUAUCAUGCUGCAAAAUUUCUGCAGAAAAUUUAUACAAGACAAAUAUAGAAAUAUAUUCCAUUUAACUAAAGGAAAAUCAACAAGAGAUACUUGGAUUCAAAUUAAAUACUACACUUAGUUAAACAACUGCCUCUGCAGCUUCAACUUUUUUAGGCCCAAAUUCCUCGCAGCCUCGCCGCAAAUGACCUCGUCGACUAGAUCCUUAAAAAUCAAUUUUUCGAUCUCCAAAACCAUCUCUUGUAGCUCAUUUCCGAAUUUUUCCCAUCCUUCAACAGUUUUAUUCUUGCCCGACGAUAAUCCAUCCUCGUCGUGAUCGUCGAAGCUGCCAGCAUUUCGGCUUUCAGCUUGAAGUUGGUCAAUCUCCAUGCACACAUCUUUGAACAAUUGCUGGCCGGUCAGCUUCUUCAUACAGAAAAACGAACUCUGUCGAUGAAAUGCGCUUCCAAUUUCCAUUUUCUGGGCUAUAAUUUCGUUCGCGACGUCAAAAACCAGCUUUCGGUGAAGCUUUUCGGGAUUCGGCUUUGGCUUCUUGGCAGGUGUUGUGAGCUGCUCUAUCUUUGUUUGUUCGAGAACAAGAAACAGUUCAGGGUUGAUCGAGCUUUUGAAUUCGGCCGUGAAAUCUUUGCGCAGGAGUCCUGACGCCGAGAGAAUCUCGUAUACGUACCGAUGAUCUUUAGAAUCAAGAAACACUGCGUCUUGAUCGACGGUCACGACUUCGUCGUCUCGUGAGCUCAGCUGUUUGAGUUUCUCGACAAGGGCCGCCAUGUUUUCCAUGUUGGAGACCUCUUUGCUAACUUUAGAAGGCGGUGUGUCCGGUAGGCUUGUUGGAUUCCAGUACUCAUCUGAAGUAUGAGUUUCUUCAACUGCUCCAAGGAAGGGAAAAAAAAAAAAAAAAGAGUUUGUAGAUUGGUUAGUAAACAAGUAGUCACGAAUAUCAUAACUUAAAAACCUUACAUGAUUAUUUGUUUAGGGUUUUUUUAACCUUUCAAUUCAGUUUGAUUUUCAAAAAUAUGUAAAUUUUAAAUUUUCGGGCUUUUUUUGCAUUUGGCUUCCUCAAAAUAUUUUUUUUACAAAUAGUCCCAACAAAUUUAUAAUUACAAAUUUAGCCCUAUCCCCGCCACGCAAGCGCCACGUCAGUAACAUGGUUUUAAGUUGAAUACGGUGAAUCAUUCAUCGUGUUCAAACACGGUGAAUGAUUCACCGUGUUCCAUAUCUAUAUUCCCCUUCUUUUUCCUUUUUAUUUUCCUUAUUUUUUUUCGCAAUACAUAUAUAUUAUACUUUUCCUAAACACGAUGAACCAUUCACCGUGUCUAAACACAGUGAAUGGUUCACCGUGUUCAACUUAACAAACUAGCCCCAACCCCGCUCACGUGGCGCUGACGUGGCACCUGCGUGGUAGGGUUAGGGUAAUUUUUACAAAUAUAAAUUUGCUGGGGCUAAUUUUUAAAAUAAAUUUUUUCCAGAGGGCCAAAUGCAAAAAAAGCCCUGAAUUUUCUUUUAGGAUUUAGUUGAGAAGGAAGGGAUGUCCAAAUGAAAUGGUUAAACUAAACCAAACCAAAUUAUGGCUUGGAUCAAAUAAAUAUUUCAGUGAGGUUCGACCGGUUUAGUCCGGUUCUCAAAAAUCCUCAAUUAGAAAAUGUUGGUCCAACAGAGGAAAACCCCAAAAACUUAACCGAGAUGAAGCGAACAUACUCAUGUAAAAUUAUAUAGACAACCAUUGUUCUCCAAUAGCAAGGAGCCUGACUCCCGCUCUGUUCUGAUACCAUAUUAAAUUAUAUAAAAUAAUUGUUGUUCUCCAACAGCUUAAGUUAUCAGAAAGCGGUGUUUUUAAUAUUUAUAUUCAACAACAUAGAAUUUCCGAGUCAUACAUAAGUAUAUCAAAACCAAGGUACAACACACAAACUACGGUUGCAAUAAAGGAAACAACCAUGAUAUUUAUGUCAUCAUAUUAAUGACUAGGUAUAGUAAUGGAUGGUCCAUGAUUAUUGGUUGGUUGUGGUUGUUGGCUUAUACAGCUAAGGAUGUUUGUACCAUAGCUAACAGCUAUUAAAAGCUUUUAGCAAAUUUAAUCGGCAUGAGAAGUGGGGCUUCAUGUAAGUGGUAAAAAAGGGAUUUAAAAGGGUCAUUAUAGCUUUGUUGUCGAAGAAUUUUUUUGUUUCAUUUAUAUUUUGGAACUGUUAAUAACCUGUAUUUUUUUUUAAGGGAGUCACAGUGCGGGGAAGCUUUAGGAGUUAGCUAGAACAUUUAAGCAGGUGAAGAUAGUAACUAGCGAUUUCUACGAAGAACACACCAUGAGUUACCUUGGAAAGAAUUCGAGAUCCGCUUUAGAGGAGAAGACCUAAUGUCGUCCUGGUAAAAUGGAGCGUCGAGGACGGAGACGGGGCUCGGUUGUUCAGGUGCAACAGUUCCAAUGUCUUUAACCGGCAAAUCAUCAUUGAGGAUUGAGUGAUCAUUCUGAACAAAAAGAAAAAGAAAAAGAAUUUAUUUACUGAUUGUAAGAAUAAAAGCAUGAGAAAACAGAUAACUUAUUUUCAGGUCACUAAAUCUAAAUAUGUUACUUAUAUAACCCUGAAAUUUUUUUAUCUAUCUAUCUAUCUAUCUAUAUAUAUAUACCUCUGCUAUAUAAUAUGAAUUCACCUAUGUGGCUCUACUUCAUGAACGAUGAAUCCUAUAAAUAUAAGAAUUUUGAGGUCAACAAUGGUAACAAUUUUGCUUUUCUUUUUCGUAGAAAUCUUGUUAAAAUUAAACAAAACAUGAUAUUUCCAUGAAAAAUCAGAGAUAGAAGACAAAGUCCAUACCUUCUCAUUCGACAAAAGAUCAUCACCCUUGGAUUCCCUGAUGUCGAGACUCUUCAUAUUUUGCUGAACAAAAGCCGAAUUUAAGUCUAUUUGUUCUAAAUUUCUCUCUCCGACUUCUUCGACUUGUUCAAUAUCAGACCUUUUAGAAGCUUUGAUCUCAUUGUGACCAAAUUUUCUCCUCUCGCUUCUUUUUACUGGAGCACUUUUCGGUCUUUGUCCACUUCUCGGAGAAGCUGGUUCAGGUAGCUGCUUAUCUGUAUAGUGCCUUUUGGGCUUCUUCAAAUUAUUAGAAGGAAUAGGAGGAAGAGACUUUCUUUCUGAUUCUACCUUCCUCAGCAAUCUUGGGCUGACGGAGCUCGGAGUUUCCACAGAUCUUUCAGUUGCGAGCUUAAUUUGUGAUCUGCCCUUUUCUGAAUGAGUAUAUUCUUUCCCCGCAUUGAAUUUCUUAUCUCUUGAGAGAAAUACAUCAUUAGGGACCUUUUUCUUUCGUGAAUCCAAUUUUGCGGGUUUCAUAAUAACAAUGGGAGAAUCAAAAGCUCUCGAGGUGAUGUUUCCUUUGACUGUUAUUGUCCUAAAAUUCCAGUCAUGUCUAUUACCAACUUGUUUACUGAAUUUUCCGCGCGAUAAUUCUUUAGCGAACUCGAUUUCUUUCAAUUUUUUCUCAAACUCCCCAUAAAUUGGCGCAUCUUUUCGCUUCAUUUCAGGCUUACGGUAUCCAGUUGUGGCUCUUUGGAUAGCACUUUGAUCCUUCUCUCUCCAAGGAGCUGAUUCAGUUGAAACCCUAGAAGAAGAAGAAGACUUGGGUUUUGAAACCAAAGAAUUAUAACUGACCUUUGGAGAUUCCAAUUCGCCAAAAUAAUUGUACUCUUUUUCCACCUUCGAUCCAUGAACUACCAACUCUUCGCUAGGAAGGGCUUCUAGCCCCAUAAGCUUUGCAAUGAUACUACUUGACCGUCUAUGACCCGGCGAUUCUUGACCUGACGCGAUCGAGAAACUUCGAUUUAAAGUAUUUCGAUCCGAAUCCCUCCGCAUUGAACUGGAUUUUGAAUCAAAGUUUGACCUGUUCAUGGUGCCUUCUUUACUAUCCAAAGAUAGUCUAGGACGUUCCCUUAGUUUGGUAUUUGACUUGCCAUUAUCUCGAGAAUCGACAGACAAGCGCGGUAGUUCUCUACCGUCACAAGAGAAGCGCCGAUUUUCCCUUGAGAUUGCGGAGAAAGAGGCACCUUUGGCUUCACAGUGAGAUAAUUUCAAUGGUUCUUCUUUCACUCCUCUAUUAAUUGCAAUCACGUAAGUCCCAUCGAGUGAUUUGGAUAGAAGCAAAGGCCUUGGAGAGUCUUUAUACUUCAGCUCCUUGUCGCUUUUCACCUCCUUGCAUGAAGUUUUUAUUGAUAAGCCCUUGGAAUCGCCAUUUAUUGAAUCCUUCACGACAUCUCGGAUGUCAAAUGAACUUUUUGCGGGCCUAUCGGAAAAAAACGACUGAUCGACAGAAGAAAAUGAGGAGGAGGAUGUAGAAGAGAAAGACGCUCUUGAUGAUUCUAAUGAGAACUGGUGUGCUUCAUUCGAUCUUUUGCUUAUAUUUUUCUCCUGCAUUAAAAAUCACAUUUCAUAACUUUUUAAUGUACUUAUGUUGAUACGUACGUUAUGAUAUCGAUGAAAAGGGACGGAAAUAUUACCAAAAUGAUCCGCGAAGGAGUUGUAUUAUUCUCUCGUCCUUGACUUUUGCUGUUCGGGAUGGCAUAGCCUAGACAAACAAUUAUAAUUAAGCAACAUAAAGUUAGAUAAUCAUUUUUUACUAGAAAAAGGAAUAUUUUCUUAAUGUGCGAUAGUAACUAAAUUAAUUUAAGAAAAAAUUAUAAUUUAGGACCACUUUGGUCCAAAUAAAGUUUUUGCAGAAGACGUAUAGACAUGUUCAAGAAGCACUAAGAGCUUUUUCCAUUUGAAUUGGACUUUUGAACCUCAAAAGCUCAUUUUAUCUCUACGCCAUAGCAAAGACACGAGAAUUUUUUACUUCUCAAACAAUCGGCUACUGCUUCUCAAAGUAGAGAAGUUGUUCGAGAAAUGACACCACAAAAGCACCCAAAGAAAAAGAUCUUAAGAGGAUUACAGACUCAGCGAAUAUAUAUAUAUAUAGCUCAUGAAUUAGAUUGAUAAUGAUCUAAGAAAAUUACAUGUAUUGUGAUUCAAGCAGAUAAAAUCCAAGCUAUUAGUUUUAGUUCUUAUGAUCAGCUAUACAGCUUUAAUUGACAAUAACGAGAACACUCGACUACAAACCGAAUAUUAAUUCAUCUGCAUUACGAGAAACAGAUUUUGAUUUCUAUCUUCAAACUAAGAAAGGGAAAUAUAUGAAUUUCAGCGAUUUUAACAAUAAUGCGCAGGAAAAUUAAAUUGCAUGCAGUAAAAGGGGUAUUAGCUUUCAAAGUCAAAGCUAUACAUAAAGAAAGAAACUUUUCUCAAUUCAAUGGAGAUCAUUGUUUGCAAGCAAUACUUAGUGCAGCAAUUUGAAGGAAUAAAAACAGAGGCAACUAAGAUUCGCGGAAUUCGCACAAAUGCUUACCCGAAAGAAUCCUCUCAUGGCCAUGCUUGUUGAUCCGCCGCCCGCCGAUGAGGUGGUGGCGAUCGAACAUCUGAAAAAUCCCGGUCAUGCACCCGACCUGCUUAUGAAAAUCCGGGUUUUCGUCGUAAAAUGCAUUCAAAUGUUUCGCGGCCAUCUUCAAUCUCUUCUUUUCUUUUUCUUCUCACUCCCCUCCUUAAUUUACAAGUACUAAUAGAACUUUCAGUUGCUGUCACUAAUUCCAAUCCUCUAAAACCCUAACUCAAAUGUUUAGAGAACAUGAAGUGAAUGUGUGCUCCUAAUUAAUGUAAGUUUUAAGUUUCCUAAUGAAGGAAUGAACCUGGGCAUUCAAUUGAAUUGCAAGUUCACACUUCUGUUGAAGGUGUUUGAGACAGGUGCAGUACAGGUCAUGAAAACAGCACCAACUCAGAGGGAAGAACCUUCCAACUCAUAUGCAACCAAACCCCACACACACACCCCCCCCCCUCAACAUCUUAAGAUCCUGAACCCAAAUGAAACUGCAACAAGGAAUGAGGGGCAAAAGUGGACCAACUUGGAUUGAGAGAAAGAGGGAGGAGAGAUUGAACCUUGAAGGCAAAGAUACAUGCCAGCUUAAUAACUUCCCACUUUUGUUUCUCUUUUUUUCCCCUCUUUUUUUUUUGCUUUGCUUUUUGUUUUCUGGGUUUGAUUCUGUUAAGGUAAGGAGAGGGGGGGAGGGGGGGAAUGUGGAAUGAAGAAGGGUGAGAGAGGAGAGGGAGGGGGCUGAGGAGGCUUUUAUUAUUAUUCCUGAGGAUGGUGUGGGGAGACACCAUUGGCAUGCCAGAUUUAUGAUGAUGAUGGAAAUUAAAGCCUGCUUUGCUUAGCUAAGACUUCUGCAAAUGUGUUGAUUCAUUUCUUUAUUUUUUAAAACUAAUUUAACAGUUUUUAUUUUUAAUUGUAAUCGAAUUGGAAGAGAUUCUCUUUAGCCCCAGUUUGGUAAUGUUACAGUUAAAAACACAAAUUUUAUAUUAUAGAAGGUCCAAAAUUUUAAAAAUAUUUUUAAUUUUUUUUUUUAAAUCAUAAAAUUGUGGUUACAAUUGCUGCCGGAGAAAUAUGUAGCUGUUGCAACCAUAAUUUAAAAAUAUCGGAGGAGAGAAGAUUAUAAACUUUUUUAACUUUUUUUUGAUCUUUUAUAAUACAAAAGUAGUCGUUUUAGCUAUAGCAUUACCAAGCCGUCGGGUCUUAUAAGAUUCAAAAAAAAAAAGAGCUUAUUUUAAUCCCCUACAAUAAUAGUUUGGAAGUAAUAAUAGCUUUAUUUAUCAAAAUUCUAUCCAGUAAAUUCUCUUUUUCGUAGAAUGAGAGAGAGCUUUUCAAGGUUCAGAAGUUCAUUUGGCUUUGUGUUAUACCAAAACUCUAAUAAAUAAUUCUAUUUAUUAUCAAAAGCUCUAUUGAAGAUAGAAAAAAAAAAGAAAGCUGAUUAUGAAUGAAAAAAGAAAAAAAGAAGAUGAUUUAUAAUCUGUUUUAGAAACUAGAUCAAAAUGAGAGCAGCAGGUGGGUCAGAGGUGCUUUGGUCCAUCCUCACAAGGGCAUGUGGGAUGAUCAUUGUGAGUGGGUCUUUGGCUGUCUGGAUGGCCAUGUGAUGGCUGUCAGAGGGAAGUUUAAAGUCCUGUGCUCACAUUAGAGGAGCCUGAAAGUUCAAUGCUUCCACACUGUCAUUUUCUACUACCUUCUCUUGCUAAACCAUCUCUUUAAUUACCAAAAUACCCUUGGUUGAAAUAAUGAAGUGUUUCUCUCUCUUAGGUUCUUUUUCUUUUCUUUUCUUUUCUUUUUUUUUUUUUUGUUGCUGCUUCUUUUCACUUUGUGGUUUCUCUUCUAGAGAUCUAGUUGCCUCACUUCUGUAUUAAAAUUUAUUUUCUUAAAGAAUGAAGCGACCUGUUGUCUUUAUCUUAAUAUUUAUUUAUAUAUAUAAUUGAGAAGUGAUGGAGACAUCCACCCGAGUCCUCUUAUGUGUGGUCACUCCAAAAAAUAAAUAAAUAAAUAGGGUAGAGUGUCUCAAACUCUCCAUUAUACCUUCUUAUUUACUCUAAGAUAAAAGAAUUUUUUUUUAUAAUAUAAUUAUCAAUAAAAGAUGUUGCUCAAAUUAAUGAGUUGAGUACAUGUUUGGUGUAAUCAGACUCAUCACAGUAAGGAUUGUCUUUGGAGCAUGUACAUGUAGAAACCAAUGACAAUCUUUAACUAUCUCUUAGUUUGCCAUUGCACUUGUCUCCUAUCUAGUUUUGUUUUUAAGUUACAUACAAUAGAUAUUAAUUAAUAAUUAAGGGUUUAAUUAGUUUUGCUUUGNUAUAUAUAUAUAUAUAUAUAUAUAUCCUUGAGCAGUGUGUGAGGGACCAUAUAUAGCUGGAUUUUAUUCCUGACAAAAGUGAAAAGUGGAAUAGUAGCUUCAAUAUCCUAUCUUCUCUAUAGAUUUAACUUUCUCUUUAGAAGUGGUGAAAAUUUUUUAAUAAGAGUAAAAAUAUAUAUAUGGUGACAACACUUUUGAACUAUAGGCCAUUCUAACAUAGGCCCCCAAGUUUGUUUUUGGUUCUUUAUUUUUGCCUUUUGAGUUAUUUACAUCAAUUUAAUCUUUCUUAGAAUUAAUAGAUUCUUGGCUACCAGUCAUUGAGUGUUCAUGAAACCAAAGUUCUAAACAUGAAAAACAGGUAGAUAUGGUAAAUUUAACAAAAUAGUGUUUAAUUUAGUGAAUCACUUAUUAUAUUGAAGAAACAAAUCGAUCAAAUCAAAACAAGAGAAGCUGAAGAACGUCACUCGAUCGAGAAAGUAAAGCCGAGAGGUUUAUUUAUUGCAAAAUGCAUGGCAUAUAGCUCGAGGGAGUAAACGGUGUGAAAUUUUGGCAUCAUUUCGUUUAGCGAAAGGAUAAGCAUUCCCUAGCAAAAGAACGAAUUUACUGAUAAGCAUCCCUUAGCGAAAAGAUGAGUCUAUCGACCUAAGUAAUAUUCUGUGUGUCCUCAUCAAUUAAGAGAAGACUUUUUUGUAAGUAUAUGUAGGGAAAAAAAACACCUUGGAUACACAUGGUGUUGUUUGUAACAAGCAAUCAAUGAGAAUGGAAGUGGCCAUGCUUGUUGAAAAGAACAUCACAAGCCACUCAUAUGGAGGCUAGGAGAAGUCUCUCUCUUUGUGUCCUCACCAUUAUUUUUUCGUGGUUAAUUAGAACUUGGCCACUACCCCAAUACUAGUGGAGAGAAAAGGGAUGUGUGAGAGUCUAUGUAUCUAAGAUUCCUCUAAAACAUGCAUGUGAUGGACACCUUAUUGACAAGUCCUUCUCAAUAAAAAGUUUUUAAGUCUCUAACACUGCAAAGGUCAUCUUGUAACUCUUUACUAGUAUAUACAUAUAUACACACACACACACACAUUAUGUAUGUAUAAAUUAAGAAUUUGAUAUACACCAAAAAUCCUAUAUAUAUACCAUGUAGGUUCAUGAAUCACUAGUAUAAGUUGUUGGUAUACAAAAUUCUAUAAGGUCAUCAAUAAAGAUUAAUCCUCAAAAUUAAUGAGUUUGCCUGUUAAUUUGAUUGCAACCACGCAAUGUAAAAUGGUAGAAGUGUUGAUAUAGGACCAAAAUGGACUAGUUCAUGGCCCCUUCUUUUCAAUCAAAUAAUCUAAACAUGCAUGAAAAAGAUUGAGUUCGUUCUAAGAAUGGUGAAUCUCUUAUAAAAUUAAAUGUACUUGCAAAUCAAAUUAAUUGUCCCUAAUGCAAAAUCGACGUGCAUUUUGUCCUCGAUGUCCUUGUAAGAAGAGAAUUGUUCAUGUGAUCUCUCGUAAACCUCGUAAUUAUGAGCUGCGAUAUUAAAUAAUUUAUAAGUAGUUUCCAAUAUCAUUCUCUUAUAUGUUCUAACUUCCAUCAAUAUUCUCCUAGGAGCAAGCUGGGCUACUGGCUUUUAUUGUUCUCAAAAAGUGUCCAUAAUCUAUAUCCUAAUUCAAGCAUCCUCUUCCCUCAUAAAAGAAUGCCUCACUUGUCUCUUAUUGUUACACACAUAUAUAUAAAUACAACUACAUAGUUUUAUAGAUACAUUAUGGCAUAUUAUAUAUAUAUAAAAUAUAUUACAUGUAUAUUGCAUGCAUGCAUAUACAAUUAAUAAGUACAUAAAAAGAGGUUGCUAGGUAAGGAGGGAUACUAUGUACCCUACUUUGUGCAAAGAUGAUGGUGAUUUGUGGAUGUAGGAUAAGAAUAAGGGGAGCAAUUCCACAUGCAUAAAGUGGUGGUGAUCACAUGGUGGGGGUUUGAGGGAUUUAAUCCCUUUUUGCUUCAAUAUGUAGAUAGAGGUUGCAUGAUGCACCAACUGGCUUGAACCAUUCACUUCCUUGGCAUGUUCCAAUCAUCAAAGCACUUGUACAACCACAUGGGCCACAUCAUGUCAUGCCUCUUCUCUUUUCCUUGUUGGGUGUUAAUUUGCAAAAUACUUAUCCAUGGCUUUUACUCAAGUUUUAUUUUGGUUCUCGAACUCCUUUUAAAUAUUCUGACAUUCGAGAUUUUACAUCGAUCGUCAUUUUUUUUUUUUUUGAGAGAUAGAUAGCACGUUAUCCGCUUCGUUUAUUUCAUUUAGAAAUAAACUUAGCUGAAAAAAUAAAUCAACUAGGAUUCGAACUUGGGACUUCAGAUACCAACCAGCAAGUCCUUUACCAUUUGCUCUAGGGACGGUCGGUUACAUUGAUUGCCAUUAAUGUUUCAUUCUAGUUAUAUUCAUAUAUAUUUCACAACUGAAUUAGUUCUUCAUUCAUCUCUUAUUUUCUUUUCAACGGUCUAACUUUUGUAUAGAGAAGAGAUUGUAAUUUAAUGGGUGUUGAGGUUGAAAUAUAGGAUGAAAAAAGAAACUGGUGCGCGCAGACAGUAUAAUUUGCCCUCUAAUAGUAGGUAUUAGCAAAGCCUAAUCGCAGUGAAAAUAUUUCGAGAGCUGAAGAUUUCUAAUGUCGAAUUUAAAAGUUUCGAGACCAAAGCAAAACUCCGUCGAAAGUUCAGGGAGCGGUGAUGCAAUUUGCCUUUUCUAUAUAUAUAUUUUAAUUAAUUUCAAUAACAAUGACCAUACUAGAACACACCCAUGUGAUUAGAGUGAAUGAGAUGUUAAAUAAUGGCUAUAAGUGUAGCCUAGCUUAGGUUUUUAAUGAAGGGACAAGGUAGUGGAUACAUUGCCCAUGUGACAUGCAUGGAUUAAUAUCCUGUUAGAACUAAAACCGAGAAGAUUUAAUUCGUCGGAUGCGAAAAUAUCAAAAGAGAUCCGAGAAAGAGAGAAGAAAAAUAAAGUACAUAAUAUUUACGUGGUUCAGCCAACGGCCUACGUCCACGGACGAAGACGGAGCGGAAAUCUUCAUUAGAAUCAAAGUGGUGUACAAAACAUGUCUCUCUCACCAAACCCUAAUCCUAAAAAAUACACCCAUAUUCCCUUUCUCAUCUUCCGCACCAAAUCAAUGGUAUAAAGGGUAUAUUUAUAAUAGUGGCUAAAUCCUAAUACAACUAGGAAUACAAAUCUACUAAAAUUAGGAAUAUCUCAAUAAAAUUAGGCAUAAUCUAAACUUAACUUAAUGGGAUAAUCAAAACAGAAUAGGAUUAGAAAACCUUACGGUACUAGAAUUCGAGACAUAUCUAGCAUAUCCUCCUUUAGUUAACUUAGUAAUGCAUGGUUGAGAAAUAAAAGAUUUAAAAUUAUUCCAUCUUAGAAGUAUGAUUGGUCAAACAAGAAUGAUUAAUUCUUUAAUUGUGCCCGUGUGGUGAGGUUCCAACUAGAUCGUUUUGGUAUAAUUUGUUUAUAAAAUUUCAAUUAAUAUUUAGGAUGUUUUUUUUUUCUCUCUCUUUUUGUGAUUUGAAUCAUUUUGGGCGAGUAAAUGUACUUUCAUUGUCGCUACUAAUUAGUUAUUAGCCAUUUGGAAAAGGAAGUAGUAAUGAGUCACAAAAUAAUAUAAUAAUAAUAUAAUAAUAAUAAGCUAGAGAAUGUAUUGCAAUUAGGGAUGCAAACGGAACAGAUCCGAAGGUGGGAGAGGUCUGUAGAAUGUACCGCUUCGUUUUUUUAUCUGGUCGGGGUGAAAGCGGGCGGAUUAAUUUUAAUCCUACCCUCACUUAACAUUCCACUGAGGGCUAAUCGGGAGGGAAGCAGAUUUUUGACGGAUCGAGAUGGAUCAACAGAAGAAAGGGGUCAAGGGUCUCCCACCGCAUUUACACUCGGCGAAUCGGGGCAUAUUCGAGACAAGUUAUAUUUUUCUAUAUUUUUGAAGAUCAUUUAAAUGGAUCCAUUUGUAAUUGCAAUGGCAUAUGCUUAUACAUUGGUGGGUUCUUUCAUGUGAUGGAUAAUCCAGUUGGAGUUGCCUAUUACUUGACAUAAUCCAGGGAACAGUAGGCAAAUUCAUAAUAUGGAAUUUGCUCUCAUUACUGGUGCAGUUGUAGUGGUAUGUAAUUCCAAACAUUGUGCUUAGUUUGGGGCAGUGAAUUCAACUACUACAGCUGGAAUUGCACGAAUAGUGACAUUUGCAAUAUUUUGGAAAUAUAUUCAAAUUGAUCAGAAUUCUAACUAUAUACAGCUGCCGAAGAAAAUAGUUUUAAGCGAAAAACCAAAAAGCUUAUCCACUUAAUCACCUUUUGAACAGAAUAAAUAUAUAUUUUUUUUCUACAGUAGAGAUAAUCUCACCGGCACUGCACUAUAUAUAUAUUUGAUAAAAUUCUUAAGUACGAUUCCCAGCUAUACACGCAACCAAACAAAUUACUUGAAGUUGCUGUAUUUUUUACUAUAUUCAAUCAAUCACACACGAUACAUAUAUAACUAUUGUAUUUUUAACCGCAUGUUUUUCUAACUAUAUUAACUACUACGUACAGUUACAAAUACACGAAUAGGGACAUCCGCAACAUUUGGAACUAUAUCCAAAUUGACCAGAAUUCCAAUUAUAACUGCGGGAGAAAAUAGUUUUAAACAAAAAAACAAGCUUGUCCACUUAAUCACCUUUUAAACAUUUUUUUUUUUCUUACAGUGGAUAAUCUCACGCAACACACGCAAUUUGGAAAUUAUCCUGAAUGAUGUUCCGAAUUUUUACUGUAUUGUGGAUCUAUCAGAGGAUUUAUUAGUGUUUUUUUAUCCUAGCGAUUGCUUCUAUUCUUAGUUACAAUCGUCUUUAACAGAGCAUUUGACAAAACAUAAAGUGUGGAGUCUUUAUUGUGGCGAAAAAUAGAAAUAAAAUUUUGAAGCCCAAAACAAAAGGAACCAAUUUAGGACUUCUACUCCUGCAGGAGGAAAAAAAAAAUGUUUUGUAUAAAUUUUUGAGCUUCAUUUGGUUCGGAUAUAAGCAAAAACUAGCUAUUACAGGGAUAGAUACAAAUAUGGGGAUAAGAAAAAUAGCGUUUGGAUGAAAAUUGAGUUGUUUUCGGGGAUAAGAAAAAUAACGUUUGGAUAGAUAAUAGUGGAUAGUUAUAUAUAGAAAAUGGAGGUGUUGGUGGGAAUAGUUAUACCAACUUAUUUCAGGUACCGAAAAAUUACUAUUCUCGGAUAAAAAAUUUGCGUUUGGGUGUAAAGGGGGAUAAGAGGUUAUCCCUCCCCUUAUUACUAAUCCAAACGCUACGGAAAAAGGUCUAAAUUGGAGUUAAAAAAAAAAAAUUACAUAAGGUCUGUCUUGGUGUGUUUCUUUCACCUAAAAGUAGAGAUGAGUGAAAUGAUUUUUGACAAUAAAUAUACACUUUUAUUGUUUGGUUCAUCGUAACUUCACUUUAGGUCAAAACUCAAACUUUUCAAAUUUAACGUAAUUGACUUUGGCUCAUUCCAAACCAAAAUCAAUAUUAACUCAUCUUUCACACCGUCAGCUUUUACGUUAUUCAUUUUUAACUAAAUUAUAGAAAAAUUCUAUGUAAGUACUAGUUUUUUCACUUUUCCUCCCAGAUUUUCAAAAAUUUACAUUUUGUCCUUUUAAAAUUUCAAAAAUACUUUUAGGGGAUGUACAGCGUUAAAGGAGAGGGCAAAAUGACCAAAUUACCCUUAUUUCUUUUGCAAGAGCAAAAAUAAUUUUUUAAUAUAUUUAUGCAUUUUUAAGGGCAUUUUCGGUAUAAAAUGUAAAAAAUGAAUGGAAUAACGAAGGGGGGCUCGAUGCAACCGAUUGAAAUAUUUUUCUUUUUUUGAGAAAAAGAUAGCACACUUCAUUCAUUGAAAAUGUGAAUUAAGCUACAAGUGUGGGGCAACCAGGCCCCGAGGAAAAAAAGAAAAGAAAAAAAGAAGCUAAUUAAGGCAGUAUUGACUAUUGAGAGGAUAAAAUGUAGAAGAUAUUUAUAAAGAAAUUUAAUAUUGAGAGGAUAAAAUAUAGAUGAUAUUUAUAAAGAAAUUUUCUGUAAUUUAAAUUUUAUAUAUAUUUUGCCAAACAAACAAUAUGUAAAAGUAGAAAAAUUUCAAUUUUACGGCUAUACAAACAAACAGCGAAAAUCUUAAACUUCAUGAAGAGUAACCCCACAUCAUGUGAUGGUGGGUCGAAGAUGUGCGCACAAGCAGGAACACCAUUCCAACGGAGCAAUGUCGGCCGUAUGAUCUGCCCCUCAGCACUGAUCCCCGGACACAUCAUGAUGAUCAGUUGAUCACCACCAAAAUUAAAUAAUUGAUGGAUCACGUACAACCAAGCCAAACAAAACCAAUUAAGCCAUAAAAGAGUACGUACGUGCUUAAUAAUUACAACUCCGUCAAAAUCACCACCACCAAUUUUGAUGGCUCUCCCUCAACCUCUUGUUGACUUGGUUGGGAGCAAGAACAAGGCCUUUGGGUUACUUGUGUGUGCAUGCAUGUGAUUUUGCUUCUUGGAGAUUGAGACACUCCCCUCCCCCCCCUCUUCUUUUUGGUUUUUUUUUGUUUUUGGCUUCGAGGAUUAAGACCCUUCAAUGAAAUUGACAAGUGUGGAGAGUGACUGAGCCCUAGCCUGGUUCUAAAUUUGGUGGGAGAGGGAGAGUACCUGUUUUGCCUCGCUUUCGCCGUAUUGACAGCCAUUUUGUGAACGAUUUGAUAGGAAAAAAAUACUGUGAUAAUAGUGAUAUCUUUUCUAUGCGUCAAGAACACGGACAGAGAGCACGAGACAUAAUAUGACUCGACAGUACAAAAAUUAUAAGGAUAUAUGUAUACAACAGGAGCGCGACUAAUAAAAUAUAAUAUUUUUUAAUAAAUUAUAGUAUUAAUAAAAUUAAUUUUAAAAUAAUUUAAAAAAUUGAGGGUUUAUAUUAGAUUUAAAUGAAAACAUCUAAAAAUAAAUAACCCUAAUUAAAAAAAUCGUAAUGUAAAUAAAUUAUAUUACCCUCAUUAAAAAAAAAAUUAUAACACUAAGGGGAGAGAGAGAGGGAAAGAGUACUUUUGAAAAUAAGAAUCUCUUCUAGAGGAAAAAGGGCUAAGGCUUCGUUUAGCAUUGCACAGAAAUUGCUUUACGUGCGUGUUGGAAAAAUAUCUUAUUUAUUGCCGUACGUAAUAUUGUGUUCGGUAUAUUACGAUGAGUUGGUUACAGUAUAUUUUUUGCAGUCCCACCGAAAAACGCAGAAGCAUAUCCCUAUAUGCUUUUUUCUCAACUUCAUUUUAUCUAAUAGCGUUAGAUAGAUCUCAAUGCCAAACUAAGCCUAAGAAGAGGGGGCCGGUAAUUCUUUUAUUUUUAUCUUUUUAUCUAUACUGUAUAUAAAAACAUAUAUUUUGAAUUUAAAUUUGUUGGCAGACUUAUUAUUUGGCGGAAAAAAAUUUCGGUUCCUCUUUUCUUUUCUUAUGCAAAAUAAGUAACGAAAUAAAAUUUUAAUUCAUUUUUUCCCUCUAACCGAAAAUCUUUUAUUUUUUAUUAUAUAUUUCUAUAUCAUUUCAUAUCUUUUAUUUUUUAUAAAUAUUUUUAUAUUAUCUACUAAUAUUUAGUUGUUAUAUUACCAUUUUAUUGAUUGCAACCAACAAUCAAAUUUGAAUUUAAUUUUAAAUAUAUAUAUUUUUAAUCUUAUUUGAUUUUAAAAUUUUAUUUUAUUUUAAAUUCAGAGUUAAAUUUAAUUAUACGUUGAAUAUUUUUUGAUGUUUUUCGAAUUCUAACGAAUCCAAAAUUUAAGUAUGUAUUUUAAACUAAAAAUAUCAAAAUUUUAAUUCUCCUUUAUUCAAAAUUUUAAAUGUAAUUUCAAUCCAUUUUAAAAAUUUAAAUUAUUAAUUCAAAUUUGAUAUUCAAAAUUAAAUUUUAAUUUAUGAUUUAUACGCAAAUUUUAUAAAAUAAAAAAUAGUACUAUAUAAUUAUUGUCGGCAAUAAUUUUAAAUUUGAGUUUGGAUAUGAUAAAUAUUAUCUAAUAAAAUAUUAAAAUUUUACUGUAAAUUUUUGGAUAAAUAUGAUAUAUAAAUUUAUAUUAAUUAUAAAAUAUUAUCAUAAUAAUUAUUACGUGUAUUUGCACGUACACUCAACUAGUUUUCUUAGAUAUAUAGGUCUCGGCCUAGGCUGGACGCGUCACAAAACGAAAUGCACAUAACUCAACUAGUUUUCUUAAAUGCGUCUCACCUUAGGCCCGACGCAUCGUAACACGUAUUUUAUGUCGGAGCGUUCGUUUCUUUUUUUUUUUUAACUAGAUGUAGCGUGAACGUGCAUUGAUCGUGCGUCCAUAGCGUGUCCACGUCCCCAAGUCUGAUUCAAACCUGCAGGGUUUUCCCUAUUGUUCAUGAUGCUUUUUUUUUUUUUGGAGCCCUUUUUCUAACUUUGGUUUCUUCUUUUUUUUGUUUUUUCAUUUUUUGUUUUGUAUUUUUGUGGUCCGUCGGAUUAUUGAGCUUAAUUGUCCCUCUCAUAUAGCUAAGUUUAUUUUUUAUAAUAAACAUUCUCAUAAAAUAGCUAAGUUUAUUCUCAUAUAGCAGAUAACAAACUAUCUUACUCUUAAAAAAAGAAAAAGAAAAAAAAACAUCAAAAUAUUCGGGUUACAAGCAACAUCACAGGAAAAAAAAAAAAAAAAAAAAAAAAAAAAAAGACACUCUGAUGGAGCAUUUAACGAAAAGAUAAUUGUUGGAUCGAUUAGAUGGGCUCUAAAGUGGUGUAUAAUCUAGCUAUAUCAUGAAAUAGAUUUUUUCUUUUUCUUUUUUUGUUUAUACUAUGUGGCUGUUUGAAUGAGCUCAAAGCAGAUUAAUAAAUUGGGUAAACUUCGAAUACCACCCCUGUAAUUUUGCACUUUCUUAUUUUAGUACUCUAUAGUUUAAAGUAUAUCAAGUUAGUGUCAUAUGGUUUCAUUUUUAUCUUUUCAUUAAUUUUUCCGUUAAUAUUUUGUUAAAUUAUAUACAAAAAAUUUCAGAUACCCCACCUAGAUUUAUCAAAUAUUCAUUUUAGUACCCUUUAGUUUUAACUUUGUCAUUGAUUUAACGAAAAAAUUUAGUGGAAUCGAUAAUAAAAAGAUAAAAAUGAAACCGCAGGACACUAAAUUAAUACACUUUAAACGACAGAGUAUUAAAGUGAGAAAAUGUAAAACUACAGGAGUGGCAUUUGAAGUUUACCCUUAUAAUUUAUUGUAUUGUAUAGUAAAACUAUAAGAUAUCCCAUUGUACUUUUUAUCCGUAUUUCGAGCGCCUAGUUGGGCAUUACGGAGAAUUGAGGCUCUACAUAGAGCUUCCUUCUGGAAGGGAGGGGCAGUAGUCUCGGAAGGCCAGUGCCUCGUCCAGUGGAAGUCUCUUUGUAGGAGUAAGUCGGACGGAGGCUUAGGAAUUAAGGAUCUGAACCUCAUGAAUAUCGCGCUAUUGGCGAAAUGGUGGUGGAGAUUCCUUUCGGACUCGACGCUCCGGGGGGGUCAACUGCUCUGAGCACUUUACUAUUCUCGGAGGAAAGUGUUGAGAGAGGGCUCGACCUUUAGACCUCACUCUCAGUGGUGGCGAGGGGUUCUGCGGACUAAAGAUUUUUUCAAACCGGGGGUGGCCUACUCAAUCGGAGACGGGUGCAGUGUAAAUUUCUGGAGUGACAUUUGGUGCGGCGAAGCCCCUUUAAGUACAGUGUUUUCGUAGAUCUUUACUAACAUUGCCAGUUCGCGUCGCCUCGUGAGUGAGUGUUUUGAUGAGAACGACUGGAAGUGGGAGGUAAUUUUGGCAGAGCCCGCUCCCGUGACGGCUCUGGCGAGAGUCUUCGUACAGGAUAUGCAAAACCUCCUUUCAACUAUCCGACUGACCAACCUGAAGGACAAAGUGUCGUGGCGAUGGGCUCAAUCAGGAUUGUUCUCCGUUAGGUCGCUUUAUACUUUCCUACAGGACGGGGGGGUCAAAGGUAGUGGACUCUCACAGCUGUGGAGUAUUCGAACUUCGCUAAAAGUCAUGAUUUUUGCCUGGCUGGUACUAAAAGGUAAGGUUCUCACGCUGGAUAACCUUUAGAAAAGGGGCUGGGUUGGAGACCAAAAAUGUGUACUCUGCUUAGACGAGGAAGAGAAGAUCAAUCAUCUAUUUGUUACGUGUGAAGUGACUAGAAGUAUUCUGGGGUGUUUGAUGAGCAAUAGGACGAGAAUCAGUACUUGUGCAUCAGCCUAUGCUCUCUGGGAGAAGGGAAGACUCAGUAGCUGCUCUCUUCGGAAGGAGCUUGCAUCAAUGGUAAGUACUUGGUGGGUGACUUGGCUGGAGCGAAAUAGACGUAUAUUCCAAAAGCUAAAACAUUCUCAGCAGCAAAUGGUGAGAGAUGUCCGGAAUAUCCGCAACUUAACUUCCUGAUGCCGACUAUGGGCGGGGUGUCUUUUCGGUGCGCCAGUCUGGUACUAACUAAGGGUGUUCCUACCUUUCGCUUUACACACGGUUUUAUUUCUCUUUUUUCUUUUGUUUACUGUUUCUCUUUUUACUCUUUUUUACUGUUUCCGAGGCCCAGCUGCUUCACAGUGUAGCCUAAUUCAUCCUCUAAAUGAAUGAAGCGAUAGCAUGCUACCUAUUUCUCAAAAAAAAAAAAAAAAAACUAUAGCUUUUGAGCACUCCACUCCAACUGAAAAAAACUUAGGCUCCAUGGUUUAAAUUAGGCAAUAUGCCACUUUCUUUUUUUAUUUCUUUCUCUUUUCUGCUCUUUCUAAGCGAAAUUCAAAAAAGGCAACAAAUCCAUCAGAAAAGAUGACGGUGGCGGCUACGGCAACAGGAAGAAACUGAAAUAUUUAGGAAGAAACUGAGAUAAAAUUUCAGUGGGGAGCUUUCCAGUCACGCUUUAUUAGAGUACUCCCGAUUCAUUAUCACGUGUUAGUUUUAUCUCAAUUCAAUAUUUGUUGGAUGCUUUUUGAAUACUAAAAUCGUAAUAAAAAAUUUUAAACCCCAAAGAGAGUGACACGUGACGGCGAAUUAGAAUUUCUUAACAAGGCUUCUUUGGAGAGCUCCCCCAUGGCGGCACACUCCCACAGUUACAAUAGCUAUAGGAGCCACACAUAUUAUUUGCCUCUCAACAAUGAUCCAUACACAUCAUUCACCGCCCAAUAAUUAUUAAUCGCCACCAAAACAAGCUAACAAAACAAUCCAUAAAGUUGAUAGCUCUCCUUCGACCCUUUGUUUGAUGAAAGAUUUUAAAAUAUGACAGUAACACCGCAUUAUCUAAAAGUUCAUUAUAUUUUUAUAUCGAGGAGAAAAAUUUUGAUUAGUUUGUGAUGCAAUGAUGUGCUGUCAUUGCUAUACAGAUGACCACCUCCUUGUUGACAUUGAUUGUUGGGUAAAAUUCACAUGUGAUUUUGCUUUAGGGCGACGAUUUUUUUUUUCGUUUGGAUUCAAGGAUUAAGACACUUCAAUGAAUUGAUGAUAAGUGUGGAAAGAGUAAUUUGAGCCCUAGUUAGGCUCUAAUUUUCGUAAAGGUAGCUAUCUGGCCCUGCUUUUGGCAUAUCGGUGGUUAUUUGGCAGAUGAUUUGUCUUAGAAAAGAAUAAUAGCACGAGAAUGUGUAUUCGGGAAUAUUGGUAUAGUUUACUACGAAAAGUUUGAGAGUUUCAACUUUGGCCCAUCAAGCUUAAUAAUUGAGUUAAAUUGGGCUGGCUUUGUCCAAUUUGUUACACUUUAAAUUGACUUGUAUAGUUGUGUGUGCGCGCUUGUUUAGUAAAUUUGUGCAUAUCUAUUCAGAUCAAUUGAUAGGAUGAUAAAUUUUAUCAAAAUUACCAAUGAUGGCUGACUCCUGCAUCAAAGUAAAUGAUUAGUAUCGGAUCGUUGGCGCUAACCAUUAAUUCCAAAAGCUCGAACUGUUAGAAAUACGUAAUCAAUUCACUUAAAGCGUACAAAUACAGCACCCACGGAUCUCAAUUGUGACUCGGCUCAUCCGGGCUCACGCCACUUCGAACAUGACUCGGCCUAUUCAGCCUCACGCCAUUUCGAACAUGACUCGGCCCAACCCGGUCUUCCGUCAUAGGGCAGGAUGCUGGACCAUUUAAGUCAACAAUUAGAACUGCCAAGCACGCAAGGAUUUCUUACGCAUCCGAUCUGCAGCGAAUCUGUACUCGUGAUUUUAAGAAUGUGUUGCGAUUGUGAACGGGGUUUAUAACAAGGGCCUGAAGCCCACAAUGCUAGGCUGGGCCGGGUUUAUAACAAAUGGACUAGGCCAACAUUGUGGACUAGGUCCAUGCAAGAAAAUUCUCCUUACCAAGACAUUUUAACUACCCUUCCCUCUUAUCCCUCAAAUUAUUUGUUGUUGCAGCGGCACUUUCAAUACCUUUUGUGACAUCCCGCUUUCCAAAACUACUCUAACCUGAACUCGAGCGUAGCCAAUCAUCCAAAAUAUUAUAAUCGGAUUAAGAGAUUUGGCUCUAGUGUAUUUUAUAUAUAGAACUAUUCAAAAUUCUGAUGUACUGCAUUUUUUUUUUCCAAAGCUCUAUUGUCCUUGUCGGGCUAAAGCACACUCACAAGUAUCAGAUAAUGUUAGACUCGUCUAACUAGAUUUAGCUAAUUUUUGUGGGGAACCGUGCUCUAUCCAUAACGGUCGCCAGCCAGGGAGCCACUAAAUGUUCGUUGUAUGACUCUAACUCAGCCGAGACUUAUAUUACAUUUUUUUUUUACUGGUGAUUGACUCUAAUACCAAAUGUGAGAUCCUGCUUUCCGGAAGAUCAUAAAUCCUGUAACUACUCUAGCUCUAGGCUUACUCAAUCCUCUAAACCUCUUAAUUGGACUGCAGUAUUUUAGACUGUGGUUAGGCUAAACCCGGAGCUGACAUCUUUCUAUUUUUAUAGUAUGUAUUUAAUAUUUUAUUAAUUGCUUUAAUUAAUUAUUUUAUCAAAAAAAUGUUAAGUUAGAUAAAAAUCAAAACUAAAAUGUAAUAUAUAUAUAUGAAAGUUUAGAAACAAAAAAGUUUAGAAAAAAAGUUAAUAGAUAGAAUUAUAACAAAAGAGACUACCAAAACAUUUUAUUCUAUUAUUUUGGUCAAAAUACAUGGAGAACCAUUACAUGCAAGGUAUUCUGAAGUGGACCCCUCAAUUAUAAUUUUACCUCUAUUUUGUUGGGAUAAGUUCUAUAUAUUUUUACCUUUAUUUUGUUUAGAAAAAAUAUACAUUGAGGACCCUCAAAAAUGGGAGAAAUUUUUUUUAUCACAGAUAUUUCAUGUGUGAAUAAUUUUAAUUAAUACAAAAUUUUCAUAUUACACGAAAAUAUGAUAAUAAAAUAUUUUUAAAACAUCAUUUUAUUACAAAAGAACUAUUUUCCUUCGUAUAAGACUUUGUUAUUCAAUAUGGCACAAUUUAAUUAGUUUAAACUAUACCUUAUAUGAUACAAUUUUUAAAACAGUCCAUUAAUGAUUAAUAAGUAAUAGAGUCGCUAAAUUUGAGAAUAUAUUUUUUUAAUUGCACUAAUUAUAAAAUUCCAAAUAAAAAAAAAAAGACUGUGAGGACUCAGAAUAAAAACAUAAAAGUUGAGAGGUCCUUUUCAAAACGUCCCAUUAUUGAGGGUCAUUUGUGCAUUUUCACCUCUUCGUUUUAUUUCAAACACUGUUUUGCUCGCACACUAUAAAUGGAUCAAACAGAGACCCUCGUUCUCCUCUUACCUCUCCGACUCUCCAAAUUCGCGAAGGGCGCGUCGCUCUCCCUCGAUCCCCGAUCCGAGGUACGAAACCCUAAUCCCCAACCCUAGAUCUCCUCCACCGCCGCUCGAAUCCACGGUUUCCCCGCAAUUUUCGCCGUUUUUUCGCCCGAUCUAGCUAUAAUGGAGUCCAAUCACGGCUCUCUUACGCUGCAAUCGCCUCUCUUGUGGGGUUAAUCGUCUCAGAUCUGAUGCUAGAUCAUGGAAUUUUCCACGGAUCGUGGUUUUUUUUUGGUGUUUGAUCGUGGCUUCUCGCGAAAUGGAGCCCACGAUCUCGCGAAUCGGUCCUCGUUUUUGUGAUUUGUUGCUUGUUUGAUGUAUCUUGGCAUGGAAAUUGCGAAAUUGUGUGGUUUUUUUUUUUUUAUGUGAAUGGUGACUCUUCUGGUAGGUCUCUUGGCAAUUGGAGGAAUGCGUGAACGUAGUCUUGUGGUAGUAUAAUUCGGGCCUGAUUUUGUAAUUUUUGGAGGGUUUUUUCCUUGAUUCAUUAGUCCAUUAGUUGGUAGGGGAAAUGGAUGGUGAGAAUAUAAACCCUAUUGAGAUUUGAAUGCUCUGUGUUGUCUAAUUCAUAUAUUGUCGUUCUAUCUCUUAUAUUUGCAUGUCAAUUGCAUUGAAUAUGGGGAGGAACAAAUCAAAGCAUUAUGUUAGAACAUUGAAGAGAAAGUUAUUAUAAGAUGGUUGUUAAGAUCCAGUUUGACGAAUACUAUAGGUGAUGCUUUUAUUAUAUAUGUACAUUGCUGGUAUGCACCAGAAAUGGAUCAAAGUUUUGCUAGUGUAGCUCAAAUUAAUUUGUUUCAAGGGCAUGGAGGACUUUCAAUGCAGUGGCCAUCUGGCUAUUGUUGGCUUAAGAGGGCCAACAUCUUGUCCUGUGACGGAAGGUUGGAUUGGCCCGAAUCACGUUCGAAAUAGCGUGAGGUCGGCUUGGGUUGAGUCAUGUUCAAAGUGGCGUGAGGUUGGUUGGGCCGAGCCACAAUUGAGAUCCGUGAGCGUUCUGUCCGUACGCUUUAAGUGAAUUGGUCGCGUAUUUCUAACAACUCGAGUUUUUGGGAUUAAUAACGCCAACGGUCCGACGGCUAUGACCUGUUAUCAGUGAAAUUCUGUUUUGGUGGCUCUAUUGUUUCUCUAUUGUGCUUAUAUAAUUUUAGAUUUCUAGAUUUUGUGGAGUUACCAUAGAUUGAGGUAUGCAACUGCGAGACAUUUCCCUUUUCUUUGUCAUAAUUUUCUGUUUUAUUGCCAAAGGAUGAUUAGGUAUUAGAGAAUGGAGGUUUGCUGAUAAAUAAUGUUUUUUUUUGGUUUAUAGUUAGGACUUCUUUUUAUUAUCCAUAAAUUACUUUUGGCUAAAACGCAAUUCUAACCUAAUUAGAGUUAGCCCCAAAAUAUCUAUUUCCUUGUAAAAUUUGGGAUUUCUGAUAUUGCACAGCCUAGUCGGGGUUCUUAAACCACAUAAGAUGGGCUGCGGGGUCAGCAGUGUGGAGGCCAGAGUUAUCAACACAAUUCGUUGAUAGUCAUAAUGUCAUUUUUUGUUGUUGAUAGUUUGGACUACUUUUUAUUAUCCAUAAAUCACUUUUGGCUAUAAAACAAUUCUAACCUAAGUAGAGUUAGCCCUAAAAUAUCUAUUUCCUUGUAAAAUCUGGGAUUUCUGAUAUUGCAUAGCCUAGUCAGGUUUCUUAAACUGCAGAAGAUGGGCCGUGGGGUCAGCAGUGGUGGAGGCCAGAGUUCUCUGGGCUACCUUUUUGGGAGCGGCGAGGCUCCCAAACCGGCUGAGAACACUCCGCCUGCCCAGAAGCCGGCCCCAUCCCCACCAGUCGAUAACACCAAGCAGAUCCCUGCCGGCAUCCAAGGAAGGCAAACCAACAAUUACUUCCGUGCUGAUGGCCAGAACACUGGCAACUUCAUUACAGUAAGAAUUCAUUUGCUCAAUUUGUUAGAAUUAGAAAUUUACUUCUGGGAUCAUAAUUCCUUCCUAACUAAUGCUAUUUGAUGUUGUAGAUGCCUAUGGGAACAUAUUCUUCGACAUAUUUCUUAAUACAUCCUUGAAGUUUGAAAAAUGAAAUAUAUAAUAUAUCGUCAAAUUUUGAAAAAUGUAAUAUAUGUUGAUCGUUUAUAUGAGCUAUUAAAAUUUGUAUCUUAUUUCCAUUCGUCCCCUAAUGCUUUCUACUCCCGUCCAUGUAUAUGAGCCUUUGCUCAGGCAAAGGCUUGGUGAUGCGCACUAACUUUUUUGAAUUGCUCUUAUCAUUUAUAUAAUAUGUUUUAUUGUUUCUAAAGAACAACUUUACCCACACAAUCUUUGCUUCAUAUCCUCCUAUUUUAUUUGUGGCUCUAUUUAUUUAUAUAUUCUUAUUUUCAAUCUUGACUGGUAUAUGAAAUUAUUUUACUAUGAGAUUUCGUGCAAUAUCUGUGAAGCUUUAUCUUGAUGCAGAUAUUGAUAUAACGGUAAUUGUGGCUUUUGCUGAGUGGAACUCCAAUUUUCUCUAUUUCUAAUUUACUAGAGUCGGCACUUACCUCCUAUUUUAUUUUUGAACAUGAUCUAUAUAAGCGCCUUCUUUGUGUAGCUUCUGGAACGAUUUCUCUACUUAGAAAAACAUAAGUUUCCUAGAAGCUAGCUUUUUGGCUAAGAAAUGGUCUAGAACCUUUUUCAGUGGGGAGAGAGUGAGGCUAAUUUUAGCUUUUGAACUCUAAUUGCUACAGCAAGAAGAUGCAGAAGAUAUUUGUAUUAAAAAGCUACAGCAUAUCAUCUUAUACGAAUUUUCUUCUUCUCUAGGAUCGACCUUCGACAAAGGUGCAUGCGGCUCCUGGUGGUGGCUCCUCCCUUGGUUACCUUUUCGGCAGUGGCGGUGGCGGUAGUAGCACCGAGAACGGCAAGACAACAAUUAAUGCCGAUUCUCCUCUGUAAGCCGGAGACUUGUAACAAGAUGAAAAACCAGUGCUCGUUUCCCUAUGUUCAGGGAGUACUGAUGUUUCAUUUGCUAAGAAGACUCGUCUAUUGUGUAUUAUACAUCUACAUGUCGGAAGUGCUUCUUUGAAAAAGCCAGUUCGGCUUUACGUGAACGUGUCGAUCUAUGGAACAACAGCUCCUGGGUUAUCAGUUUCCAUAUGUUGUUCUUACAUCAUCUUCUGUUGUUGCAUUGAAAUGUUUUUACCCCUCUCUGUUUGUUGUUUUAAAUUGAAUUGAAUUGAAUCUUAUGGUCCAAGACGCGGCUCGGCUUUGAACUGAAGUUCCUCUGGUUUGUUUGCCUGGUAGGAAGUAGGAAGUGAGUGGUGUAAAAGUUGAAAAUGUUUCAUUUCUUUUAUUUACAUCGAAAAUUCCCAUGCUAGCAUUUAGGAGGGUCUAAAAUAGUUACAGAAACGAAAUUUUCUCGUAAAUGACUUGUUAAUGUUUUGGAAAAGUUUGGUUAUGACUGAAAUUAAUUUACGAUGAACCAAACCUUUAAUAAACUUCACCACUAGCGAGACCAAAGUCAGUUGCAGUGUUUUGAAAGAAAUGAGUUACAACUGAACUUAAUUUAUGGCGAACCAAACAACUAAAGUAAAUAUUUUUUGUGGAAAAAUGCUUUUCUCUUCUCCUAUACUAUUACUGAAAAAAAAAAAAAAAGCUCAUAUGCUUUUAAAAACACCGAAUUAUUGGUGUUUAUAGGUUUACAGUUCUUGGAUUAAAAAAUGUGCGAUUAGAAUGACAGUAAUUUUUUAAGGUUGAAUGGAUAAAAAUAAUUAAAUGGAUAAAUCUAACGGCAGAAAACUCGCAAAUAUUAACUGCUUUAUAUUUUUACAAGCACCAUAGCCGAACUUUAAAGAAAAGAAAAGGCAAGAACAAUUAACCUAAUUAUUAUAUCAAUGACUACUGGCUAAUAACUAAUAGAAUUAUUAAAUUAAUAAAAAUUCUAACCUGGUUAAAUUUAAUAAUUCAAAUAAAGAAAUUAGAAAUUAACAAGGCAAAUGAGCAAAAGUAAAGCUGAGGGAAUUAUUUCAUGAGCUAUUCUCCAUUUAUUAUUAUUAUUAUUAUUUUGAAAUUAAUUUUGUACAUUUUUUUAUUAUUGUAUUAUAUAUAUAUUUUGCAACAGUCCUAUUGCUGAUGUUGUGUUUUCAACCAAUAAAGUAUUUUUUUUUCUUAAAAGAAGAUAUGUGAUUGAUUAGCUACAGAUAAUGCGGUGUAAACAUGGUUAAGUUCCCCCCCUUCUUCAACUCUUCGCAUACCGACCCCGGCCCAAAUUAAUUGUGGGCUCGAAGCCCAAUGAGCCGCUUAUACACCGAAAACCACCGAAUCCUCCUCUUGCACACGACUCACACCCAACCACAAAAACCCCAACCCCUCGACCCAACGCCACAUUCUCUCUUCCUCUCUCUUUCUCUCUCUCUCUCUCUCUCCUCUCUCUUUCGCUCUCCCCAUUUUGAGCUCCGCUUCUCUCUCUCUCACUCUCUCUCUACGCCGCCACCUCCCUCUCUCCUCUUCUAGGGUUCCGAUCGCCGCCGCCGCCGACGAUCGGAAUCCACCUUAUCCUCCGCCGCCGCCGCCGCUUGGAGAACGUGAGCUCUCUCUCUCUCUCUCUCUCUCUCUCUCUCUCUCUAAACUUCAUGACAAUCUUAUAUGUGCCCAAGAUUUGAUCCUGAGUGUAUUAAUCCUCUGUUCCGAUUGCUGAUGAUAGGUUCUUAUGUUAGAGUUGAGGAGGAUCAUUUUUUUUUUUGUUCUUUUUUCCCUGGUGUGUUGGAACGGGAGCUUUAAAACACGGUUUUUGGGGUUUUCUAUGUAAUUUUUGUAGUGAAGGGAGUGGGUUUCUUUAGUUUGAUUUUGUCCCGAGUUUGAUCGAUCUGGUGUGGAUUCUAGGGUUUAAGGUUUAGGGGCUUUUUGCGGGGUAUUAUAUUUUUGGGUGUUUAUGUAAAUCUUAGGUCUCGGUUUUGAAGGUUGAUUAUUAGAGGGUUUAACUGUUCAACUUAUUUGAUUAUACCUUGUGGCUUGGUCGGCCUUUGCUUUAUCGAGGGCGCAAAUUUUGAUUCUAAUUAUCAGGUAAUUGUUUGAUCGGAAGGACUCGAAAUUUGUUUGUAUUUACUUGGAGAAGGACUUUGUUCUUGAAAGAAGUCAUCUUUCCUUAUUUUUGUUUGCACUGUGGUAUAUUUGCAGUAAUUCGCAUUUCAAGUCCUUCUGAUCAAAUUAUUAGAUGGUUUUGUGUGGAUAAUCCUUUCUCUGAGUCUGAGGGCCUUAUCUUUAUAAGUUAGGCUGAUAAUCCUUUAUAGGUCUUAGAUGGUUACGUUUCUGCUUGCAGAGGAACUGUAGAGGUUCUGUUGUUUACUUAGAAGUGUAUGGACCUUAACUAUACUGUAGUGUAUUUUGAAAUGGACAUUUGAACCAAGAAUUUAAGUACCCAUUAGCACGAGUUGUAUCCACCGUGUCAUAUUGUGCCAACAAGAUAUUGAUACGAUACAGUUCCCAUGCAGAUGACACAGCUCAAAGUUCUUUUUUUUUUUAAAUUAAUAAGUAAUUUUCUCAAUAAAGUUCAAAAGAUUAGAUAAAGAUACAUAAUAAGCAAUAAGUAUCUUUUUGCUAAAGAAAAUAAAUAUUUCAUGCCUUUAUGUGUCGGCACAUAUGUAUUUUUUUGUGAUCGACACGCAUUGGCACGGUAUCGAACCAUGCCGGUAAAUUUUCGGCACGACCCCAUGCCACGGCACUUAAAUUCUUAAUAUGAAUCCUAGAAAUUUGGCUUUACUACUUCAUCUUUCAUUACUAUUUAUUUCAGAAAAAUUCCUUCAAGUUAUACUAAAUGGUUUCCAUUAAGGCACAAUAUAAUGUUUAUGUUCUGUCAAAUCAGUAACAGAAAAUUCUACUAGGCAACAAAAUAUCAUAUUAUUAUGUCAAGAGUACUUAAAAUUAAAUAUACUAUGAGGUGAGGUUGUGAAAUUAAAGCCGUACAAGUUCAGGUACCUGUUUCAUAACGAGCUCUGUUCAGCUUAGGGUUUUAUACUUUUACCUACUGUUUAUACAUCAGUCGUGUUUAUUUGGGGAUAAGGUAAUCAUUUUAUUCCGUAAUAGAUCACUUGAUGGAAACUCUGUGCUGCUAAAUCUAUUGCAGAAAUGGCGCUGCAAGCUGCAACUUCUGUUCCUCAACCUCCUCCACAAGUGGUAUCAAUCUUUUUUUUUUUGGCUUCCAUUUUUAAGUUUGCCUUUCCUAAUUCGCAGCAUUAUUUUUUUUUCCCUUCAGAUUGGCAGCGCCUUUGUUCAGCAGUACUACCACAUUCUUCAUCAAUCACCAGAAUCAGUGUACAAGUUUUACCAGGACACAAGCAUGCUAAGCCGGUCAGAUGCUGAUGGAGUGAUGACAUCAGUAACUACAAUGCAGGUAUUUCCCUGCUUUUCUGUACAGACUAUGUUUUACCUUGUCAUCUUUUUUAUCAAUCUUCUAAUGCUUGGUAAUAAUGUAUGUGCCUGAAAAAGAUCUUUUUUCAUGUUGGCAUCAAUGGAAUAUUCUGUAUUUUGGUAUUCUAGGAGAUGCUGUUUGCUAUUAUGUUUUUUUCCCCCCUUUGCUUCCAAGUUUGAUUCACAAUUAUGAUUUUUUUUCCUCCCUUUGGUUAUAAGUGUGCAAUGAAUUGAUUUUAUUGUAUGCUGCAAGCCUCCAAGGAUAGGCACAAAAUUAUCAAGUGAAUGCAGUGAAAAUUAAGAGAGAAAGGUUCUUUGUGAUUCUCAUUGCUGUGAUGUAGUACAUUCUUGGAAAUGUAUAGACAUGGAGAAUUAGAAGGAAAGCAAAAUAGAUUGGCAAAAAAAGAGUGGAAAUAGGUACAUAACCUACCGCUAAGAAAGAAACUUUUCAUGUUACAGUACACCAUAUACAGGGACUACUUGUGGAGUACAUGGUUACUAUAUUUUUUUAUAUGCAGUUUUCUUCUCACAUUCAAACAUUUCUAAAUAAGAACUGUUGGUAUCAGUUAUAAAUAUAAUUUAACCAAGGAUUUGAGUGCUGUGGCACUAGGCUGUGCAAAAAACUUGAUGGCACGGUACGGCACGGUGUGUACCAUGCCGUGCCAAUGCCUGCUGGUCACAAAAGAACCUGUGCCCCGAUACACAAUGCCGUGAAUUGUUUUUCUUCUUGGCACCAAUAUGUUCUAAUCACUUACUGCAUAUCUUUGUCAACUCUUUUAAACUUUAUUGAGAUAACUACGUACUAAUUUCAAAGCAGAGAGGAUUUUGAGCGGUGCUAUCGGCAUGGGGGCCGUAUUCUGCUGAUAUCUUGUCGGCAUGGUGGUCAUGGCCUGUAUUGAUGGGCAUUUAAAUUCUUUAAUUUAAGUAAAUGAAACUCCCAUCGAGUACUAUUCUUUUUCAAAAGACGUUAAAUCAACCCUACUUGGUUGAAAUUUGUUGCAGUAUAAUAAGAAAUCUCGCAACAACCUUUUCCUUGAUAUCAGGUAAAGAUACAUCUUUGAUAAAAUUGAUUUGCAUUAAGUGCUAUUCUUCUCAAAGAUAAUAAAUCAAACCUUCUAGAUGAAAUAUUAUCUGUAUAGGCUUCAACUGCUGCCAGAAAAUAUGGUGACAAGUUCCCCAAAAUCCGAAAAAAUAUAUAUUUUAAAAAUUAGUUUCUUAAAUAAGCUUCAAGUUUCAUAUUUUAGAAAAAUUACAAUGAGGCUCAUUUAGAUCAGGUUCUUUCCUUUUCAGUCCUUCCCUUUUGAUAUUGCUAUAGAAAUUGUGACUUACAUGAUAGUCUCUCAACUUAUCCUCUGUUCUGUAUUGUAGUCAUAGAUUUUUUUUUAAAAUAUAUAUAUAUAUAUAUAUAUAUAUAUAUAUAUAUAUAGGUUUGCAUAUAAAUCUUUUGUUUUGCUCCUUUUAGGUUGAGUUCUUCUUCCCCAGAUAUUCCCCUUACCAUUCAUAAUCUACUUUUCCACCACCAAAUUCUCCCACAUCUACUCCCUUCCCCACUCUAAUAUGAUUUACAUCAUUCUCUUGGCUCGAGUUAACCACCUAUUAUAUAUUUCCUCGACAUUGAAUGGACAGUAUUGGCUGCUGGAAUUUUAUUUGACUGAUAUCCCUGUGUUGUGGAUUUCAUUUUGUUGACUACCAAAAGUGAUUACUGGAUUUGCAUAUUGAUAUUUUCUAGGCUUAUUUGGUUGUGCAGGCCAUCAACGAAAAGAUAUUGUCCUUGGACUUCCACAACUGUUUUACAGAGAUAGAGACUGCAGACUCUCAGUUGUCUUACAUGAAUGGAGUCUUCAUUGUCGUAACUGGAACCUUGAUUGGGACUGACAAUGUUAAGCGGAAGUUUACCCAAUCAUUUUUUCUCGCCCCGCAGCAAACCGGAGGAUACUUUGUCCUCAAUGAUGUGUUCAGAUUUAUAAAGGCAGACUAUCUGGGGGGAAUUAAUCAACUGGUUGUCAAUGAGUCGGAGAACAAUGGCGCAGAUGGUGCUUUAACUCCGGAGCCAGGUACAAUCAUUACUGACUUACUCUUUCUUUUACCCCUUGUUUAGAUGGAGAGAAUGGGAGUGAAUGAAGAGAAACCUAGAAGAGAAAUUUUUUUUAUUUUCUCUCACUUGGUGAAAAUGAGAGAAUGAGAGGGAAAAGUGUUUGUUUGAAAACUCACUGUUGGUUUGGUUUGCUUUUGCUGGUUGUUCUUUGGUUUUCUUGCACACUCCCACAAGAAAUAGCUCAUGUCAAAUUCAAACUUUAUAUUAUUCUGUGUCUGUUGACAGAACCCACUCCAGCUACGGAACAUGAUAUUGAAGUCAACCCAGUAUCAAAGGGGAUUGCUGACUUGGGCGACGAAGUAGUCAACCCAUCUGAGGACAGUGAUUUUUCGGGGGUUGAAAAUGGAAAUGAUGUUGAUCCACCUGUCCAGGUAACUCCAGGUGAUGCUCAAGAAGCUUCGCAGGCUGCUGCUACUGUGUCUCAGGAGAAUGUGCCUAAGAAGUCUUAUGCAUCAAUAGUGAGUUGUUAUUCUUGUCAUUUUCCUUUUAUCUAUGUCACAUAAUUAGUAAGCCCUGCGCACCCCUUCCCCACUCCCCCCACCCCAAAAAAAAAGGCUUAGUUUCUGCUUUCAGCUGCAGCCUCCUAUAGUGGAGUGUUUUGCAAGCAUAACACAAAAGCUUUUGCUAUUAUGGAAAGUUGACAUUAGAUUUCUAGCCCCCCAAAAUUGGGGCUCCAAUUUAGAGCUACUGAUAAUGCUCCAGGGAGAAAUUGUGGGCGGGGAUUUUACCGUAGUGCUUCUCGGAGUAGCACUAUUCAAAUAUCACUUAAUCAGAUAGGCCCUGCUCUUCUUUAUGAGCCAAUCACAAAUACGCAAUACCAGAGGGUUAUAUAUGUGUGAAUACUUGUAUUCUGAGGGUGUAUAUGCAGAAGUAAUAAAUGAUGAUCAUUAUUCUUUAUUUGUUAGAUUUCUCUGCUUUAACCGCUACAAACAAUUGUGGACCUAGUAAAGCACACAUUUAUUAGUUAUUUCUGUUAUCAAUGGAUUGGCAGGUUAAAGUGAUGAAGGGGAGCCCAUCACCAGCUCCAAUAUAUGUGCCUGUUACCAAACCAAAUACUCUGGGUCCAAACCCUGAGAAACCGCGGGUUGUGCCAACAACACCCGCUAAUGCGCCAGAGACCACGGUUCCUAACGACAAUAGUGCCCCUGAAAACAACGAAUCUCAUGAUGGUAUGUCCAGCACUAGCAUGCCUAGCAUUGGUGGCUCUUUUGCAUGCAUACCCCUGCAAACAUGUGAAAUUGCAUAACUGGUCCUGCAUAUAUAGAUAGGGAUAUGCGUGUGUGCCCCUGAAAAUCAUAUUUAUCUGCAUUCGCUCACCUGCUGGGUGAAUACAUACCAAACCAUUUUUUACAUUGCAUCCGAAUAAAGAAGAUUUAUUUCUUCUGGUAGAUGCACAAAUUCCAAUUUUACUGGGGUACUAAUGUGAUUUUGCAUGGAUUUAUAUGCAAAAAAAAUUCAGAGGUUUGGCUAUGAUGUCCUGUGGUUUCCUGACUUCUACCUAUAUGCAGUUGAGGGUUAUUCGGUAUAUAUCCGAAAUUUGCCUUUGAAUGCAACUGCUGAACAAGUCGAGGAAGAGUUCAAGAAAUUUGGAACUAUUAAACCUGGCGGCGUGCAAGUUAGAAACCAUAAGGUUUGUCAGAUGGACCUUGAGACAUAGCUUGUUGUCUAUUUUAACUGAAGCUUUACUUGUAUUACUGACUGGAUGGCAGAUUGAACGCUUCUGUUUUGGCUUUGUGGAAUUUGAGUCGUUGAAAUCCAUGCAAGAUGCAAUUGAGGUAUGGUUCUUGAACUUGGUCCGUCACUUUUAAGGUUACCUGCUUUCAAACGAUUUUUAUUUUCAAUAUCUUUUGGAGGAAUAGUUGUAUUUAUAUAAAAACCAUUGCAUCCUGUUCUUUACAGUGGGACAUUUAUUAUUUUCAGCAGCUUAAGUUCUACACUCAAAUGUUUUUGUUCUGGUGGGGUACUUUUUUUUUGGUUUUGAGCUGGGAGCAACAAUUUCGGCUUUAAGUUAGAGCGCUCGAGUUAGUGUAAUAUUAUUAAUAUAUUCUCUACUUCAUGGUGGUACCUCUAGUAUCAUCAACAGAGCAUCUGCACCUUGUUCCAUUCAUCUCUGAUGCUACAUUAUAUAUUAUUAUUUUUUUUUUCAGUCACUAAUUUUAAACCUGUAGCAAUUUUGUUUGGUUGACAUUAUCUCGCGACAUAAUAUCUUCAUAAUUUUUCCUUUAUUCAUUUUAACCGUUAAGUUUUUUUAAUUCUAAUAAAAAUCACUUUUUCAUUUUAUGUUUUGAACCUUCAAAAUUUGAGCCUGGAAAUGUUAGUCCAAAGCUGUGAGAGACUGCUGGCUGUUUACAAUCCGAAUUUACUCUUUGUUGCUUUUCACUCUGCUUAUGUUAACAAAAUAUAAGGCAUCUGAUCAGUCUCAUACAUUAUCUCUUUUUUUAGUUUAGUUUACAAGUUGUUGCAGUUUUGUAUAUGAAGGGUCUAUUUGGCUGGUUAUUUAUCAUCUAGAUUUUUUUAAAAAAAGUUUUUAAUGAAUUCUUAGGCCUCACCAGUUCUAUUUGGAGGGCGCCAAGUUUAUGUUGAGGAGAAGAAAACCACAACGCGAGGUAAGUAUUGAUUUCGGUGCUGCAAAAUAUGAAAUUUCAUAGACUACAACCAUAUAAAAAAUCGGAUCUUAUGGCGGUACACAAAAAUAGAUGAAUUUGCGAGGAUACUUGCGUAAAGCGUCCCAAAAAUUAAUUUUGUGGGCUAGAAUCAUGUAAUACAGUCACCUACCUCGGACUAAUGAAUCCAUUUUCUUUCUCAUUCCUUGCGUGUAAAUAAAAACACUGAGCAUACUGAAAAAUUUGUUUUAACUUUGUUAUUUGGUUAACUUUUCUUUUCACAAGGAUUGAAUGCUGAUGCUGAUGCUGAUGCUGAUGCCUUUUGUUCUCCCAGUUGUUAAUGGUGUCGUGACCCAUAGCGGCAACAGUAGCGGGAGGGGUCGCUACCCAGCGGGGCGGGGCGGUUUCCGUAACGACAGCUACAGGGGAGGCCGCGGGGCCUCCGUUGGGAACGGCAACGGGGGAAACUACAAGAGGGGCGAGUUCCGGAACAGGGGAGCCGACUAUGUGGGCCGCGGUGGCUGGUCAAAUCCUGCGCGUGCCGCCGCCGCCGUCGACGGUUAUCAGCAGCGCGCUUUCCAAAACGGGAAUGGGCGGUUUGGGAACCGGCUAAACGGGCCGAGGCAAGCCACAGUCUCUGCCUAGGAGAGGAACAUAGCACGACACGGUAAUUUUGUCAGGGUAGAACCCCUCUAAUGCAUGAUUCUUUUACGCCCCACCUUUUUGAUGAAUCAGAGGGCUCCGCUGCCCCUUUUUCUCUUUUUUGUCCUCUCCCUAUCCCUAAGUAGAGAUCCUCCUAAAUAGAGAUGUGAUUCUUAACUAAAAAAGAACCUUAAUAGUGCCGAGAGAAUUAAUGUUUUUUGAGCCUGGGUUGUUGCAACUGUGGUAACAACUAACAUUCCAUAUUUGCAGAAUAGGGAACCUAUCCUUUUUUUGUUGUUGCUAUCAAGUUUCUAGCGUCUUUUAGAAAAUGAACUUUGAUUUUGGGAUUUAAAUGUUAUAUAUAUAUAUAUAUAUAUAUAUAUAUAUAUAUAUAUAUAUAUAUAUACCCCCCCCACCCUGUUUGUUAUUCUAUCUGAUUGAACCUUGGAGAUUGGGACUUUCUCUUUCCGUGAUAUGGUCAUCUUAUACAGUUNAGUUAAUUGAUGAAGUAUGUAUUUUUCUAAUUUGAUUCAAGUGCUGAGUGUGGGUUCUUGCGCAUCCCAAUGAAAAUAUAGACCCCCCUAAAAUGAAUUUGCUGUCUCUAUAAUUCCAAGUGGGAUUUUACUUCAUUCAACAAAAGCUUAGUAUUGCAGAGGUUAUUUGUCUUUUAUUUUUAGAGAAAAAGUAAAAUAAGAUGGUUGUAGGUAGCAGGCAUUACCUUUUACUGUGUGAUGUGAGAUUUAAUCAGGAUUUAUGUUUUUAAUUGUUAUAAAUAUAAAUAGUGGUGGUAUAUUUGGCUAAAAUUACAUAAUAUAUUUUUUUGGUGUUGCAACUGCAGUAAGCUUUUGACCCAUUUUUUUUCUUCACUUAUUUUAUUUUAUUUUUUUUCCAAAUACUUAAGUACUUAAGCCUCCUUUACGUCUUGCUGAAGAGACAAUUAAGAAUUUGUAAGCACUCACUGCGAAAAGUAUAUUGCAUGGCACAAUUUACUUAACAUCACAAAAUUACAUCUAACAGAGAUCAUACUGCAAAAGCUCCAUCAAAACAUGAAGAACCAAAGUUACAAUUACUUAAUGUUCCCUUCCAAAUUAUUUUUCUUAAAAUACGACAACAAUUCCAGAACAAAAGUCAGAAAUAACAGCUACAAGGUUAAUUAAAUUAUGUACAGAUAUGUGAAAAAUACCACAAGCCAUCUUAAUAUCAUUCUUUCCGAUGAAAAAGAAUAAUCUUAAAAAAUAAAAUUCCGUGCAAGGCUUCAUGCAUUGAGAUGCAAUUUUUUUCCAAAGAUUCCAGUUUUAUGUUAAAGAUUUUACUAGUUCCUUGAAAUCAAAGAGCAGCCAAUCCGCCUUUGCUGCGACAGCUUCUCGCAUUUGUACCCCAGCAUAGCAUAUAAACAGGUCAGCUCCACCAGGUUUCCGAGCCUGCAAAUAGGAACACAAGAAAAUUUCGAAAGCUCUAAAUUCAACUUUCAAAUUUUUCAAAAUGAUCUAGAAGACACGAAAAUUUGACAAAAUGGGUUAUUUUGAUUGAUGGGAGGAAACAAAAAAAAAAAGGAAGAAGACAUCAACAUAAAAAGCAAUUAGUUGUGCCCUUCAUCCUAUCUGAUACUUUCAGUCAACCAACCACUGCCCAGUGAGUUGCAGCCUUAUCUUCAUUUUGAUUUUUAAAAAUCAAUUUUGUUUUAAAGAUGAUUGGAUUCGAACGGAAGUGGAGCACGUGCAGAAAAUAGAAGCAUAACAUGUAAUAUGAUGUGCUAUGAACGGAAAAUAUAUUGAGGCAUGUUUGAUAGGAUAACUAAGUUAACCAGUCAUAAAUCGGCCCAUGGAGCUCAAAGCAAUGAUCAGAAUGAUUAUUUAUUCAAAAGGUGUAAUAAAAAAUAUAUAUAUACAUAUUAAAGGUGCUUCUGGAGAAAGCUCCUUCUCUUUCAACUUUAGAAGACUUACGAGCAUAUAAGAACAUUAAUGAACAAUGUAUAUCUGUAUCUUGUUUACUCAAUAAACUGAGGCACAAAGGACAACUAAAACUUAAAAACAUUAGAAAACAAUACUUAUAGAUACACCACAGCAAGUUCAUGUAAUUCCAUUUAUGCCCUGCUACAUAUGAAUUUUCAUGUAUGCUCUCAAAAACUUUUAAGAUCUAUAGAUUCUAUACACUUCGACUAGUGAAACCUCUUUGAAAACUUGUUCCACUUUAAAAAUGCAGAUAUUUUUGUAUGGAACAACAAUUUUAACCGUUUAGGGUAUAGUUAUGUAAAUUACAGGGAGUAUAAAUGUAAAAGAACCAAAGAAAAAGAAUUACCUCAAGAUCAGUUGCACCAUCUCCAAUCAUAACUAGUGUUUUAUAAUCAUGGACCUGAAAGUAAUAAAUAACAAUCAGCACCCAAGUGCAAAUAUAAAACUUCAUGCUCAAAGAUGGGUCCAAACCUUUCUUAUUUGUUGUACUGCUGUCGCUUUUCCGCCACUUCGCGAAGUAGGCUCCGUGGUAUCAAACCCAAGAAAUUCUCCAGAGCUUCCGAAGAGUAGUUGAUUUGCAAAGAUGUUUUCAAGGGGAAUACCUAGCUCCAAAGCAACAGGCUAGAAAAGAAAAAAAACAAAACAAAAAAGUACAAAGAAAUAUUAUAGUUCUUACGGGUAUUAUAAUAUACAUGACAUAAUGCGCCACAAGAAAGAAAAUAUUAAACAAAGACAACAUAUAAAAUUAAGGAGCAGACCUUGAUCAUCUGGCGAAAACCUCCAGAUACAAGGUAAACAUCAGUCUUAUUAGCCUUCAACUUUUCUAUCAAUUCAGAAAUGCCUGGAGAAAUCCUGCAGAUCAAGUGGCCACAUAGUAACAUGGUGAUUACUAGACAAAUGGCAUAAUAUGUUUAUUAAUGCAUAUUGCACUUACCACAAGUUCAAAGAAAGUGUUCAUGUGAAAACCAGAACAACUUUUGUGAAAAUUUAGCCAUCAAAAUUUGGAAUACAGGAUAUCUAUUGCCGACAAAGCAUGUUAAGACUUAUUUUAUGACUCGUUUGUACUUUUCAGCACUUUUUCUGCAAAUUUGAAAGGUUCAGUCAGAAGGCCAAAUUCUUAGUAAGAAAUGGGCAUAAAAGUAGAUGUAGUUUGACUUUAAGAACAAAUUGCGGUGGUUAAUGCACAAAUCUAGUGAUUCCUACCAUUCAACAUCCAGCUAAGAUGAACAUUGACAAGCUCAGAUAAUGGCUUCCAUCAGUUAUUCAAAAUUAGAAGAAAAAGGAAAAUGCAGAAUGAGGUUGCUAUCGCUUAGAAAAUCAAUACUGUAGCACAUGAAGAUAAUGGAGGUGUUUGAAGAUAACGGUUUUCUAAAUUCUAGAAUGUUCUGAUAGAAUGAGGAUGUAAAGUAUCAACAUUGACAAACAGAAUGUUCAGACUCUAGAACUCGAUGCACACAUACACCCAAAAAAACAUACUUCUUAAUUACCAAGCAUGAUAGAAGAAAUUUUCAAUUUUAAAUUCCAGUUGAAAACUUUAGAUAAGUUUUCUUCCGGAACACACCAUUUUAAAAAUCAAAUAAUGUUCAGUCCAGAAUGGCGAAAAUAACUGAAAUACCUCGGUGGUCUCUUGACCAAAAAAUCUUCAACUUGAGAGAGCGAUGGAUUGAAUAAAGAAAGCCUCGCUGCAAGAGCCUCCUCAAAAGGGACAGAACCACUCAUUGCCCUAAAAUUUCAUCAGAAGUGAUAAUUCAGGAGUCAACUUCUACAUUUAAAGAAAUUCUAUACUAGAAUAAAGCUUCUCAACCUUUUCAGCACAGAUUCAGUUUGGUCCCCAAUCUUUCACUUGUUAAUACCCUAACCUGUGUAAUGUUCCAAUCUUACCCUUUCACUUUACCCUAACUAUCUAAUUGUUAACACCCUUGCUGUGCCUGUUAUUCAAAUCUUACCCUUCCGUUAAGUUCCUCCAUUAAAAUAGAUGUAAUUGACUUUUCAACUUCUCAUAUGGUGUUUACCUCAGCGUAUCCAACUUAACAGAGAAAUCUAAUGAAAAGGUUAAGAUUGCAACGAAAUGCAACUGAAAGUCAGGGACCAAUCUGAAAACUCUUAAAAGGGAUGGCAGCACAUAAGUGUUCUCGGACUCGCAAAAUUAAACACACUUAUUUCAUUUUACAUAGUAAAAAAACAAGUUCUUACUUAUUAGUCCAUUCUGCAACAGCUUUCCCAGCCCCACAGAAAUCUGCUAGUUCAUCAAUUCCCUCAUCUAAGCACACGGUGCUGUCCACAUCAAAACACACCGCGUCAGCACUGCGCCAGAUCUCAAGAAUCUCUGCAUACAAACACACUAGAUGUUUGAAUAAUUCAAUCUACAGAUAUUACAUAUCUAUCGUUGCUAAAUCAUCCAUUCACAUUCUUUUUUCCUUGCAAAAUCAGCAUUGUCAUAUAUGCUCUCAAACCCCUCUAGUUACAAGAAUGCCCCACUUUCGAAUAACUUUUCCAAGAGAAACCCACCUUCUCUCAUGAAUCUGGUGACUCCUCAACUUAUGAUAAGGGUAUGUAUACAUUUUACUAAUGGCCGGCUAGAAGGCAUCCCCGACACCUGCUUUCAAAGAUGUGUCCAACCCACACAACGCCCUUUCUCGCUUCUCGCAUACCAGACCAACCUCCCUUCCCAGGAGAAAUUAUUAUCUGCACCUGGAGUACGCAUACAUCUCACACACCAUACUCAUACACUGCAUUUAAUUUUUAAAUAUAUAAACCUCAAUUUGACCCUCUAUAAUUUAUCUCGUUUUCACUUUGCCACCCCGUGGUUCAAAAAAUUGCACUUAAUUUUUAUGUGGUUGUAACCUUAUUUUAACCAAAAAAAUUUACCAUCGCAUUGAAUAACAAAGUGAAAUUUUUUUAAUAACCACCGAGUAGUUAAGUGUAACUUUUGAACCACAGGGUGGCAAAGUGAAAAGGAGCCACGCCCCUUAAUUAUAUAUAUUUUAUAUUAAGAUCCUUUUAUUUGUCUGAAUCAAAUAAUUUUAACCAGAUAGAUUGAAAAAUUUACCAAUGAUAUAGAAAAUUGUAACUAAUGAAGCAGAUGAUUAAGCAAUUAAAUGGGUUGAACAACAAAGGAAGACAUGAUGAAAUGUACAGAUGCAUCAAGUGCAGGCAAUAGUUUCUUAAAGCUAUAAAAUAACUCAAAUCUAAUAGCUUAAAAUGUUAAACAGUAAAUUAAAAUUUUAAAAUAUUAAAUGAUCAUUUUCAAAUUGCCCAAAGUUUAUAUUAGUUUUAUGAAUUUUUAUCGAUAUUAAAGGCUUUUAUAGAUAACUUUCAAUACACUUCCAAAUUAUGAUUGGCGAAUAAAUAUUUAUCAAAAUUUAAAAAUAAUAUUACUAUUUGUUCAAGAUUCAGCAGUAACUAUGACUCCGCUGCAAAGCGCAGGCCCUUCAGUAGUUUUUCAAGAAACUGCUUUUCGACGGGUAUACAAACAAACUCAGAUAUUACAAGCGAGUAAUUUAAAAUGGAUGAUUUUGCAAGGAUGUCUAAUUUUAAAGCUAAUUAAAACCAUUCCUACAGAAAAAUAAAAAAUUCUUGGAAAUAACCUUUCGUAGGUAAAGUGUUGGCGAACUGCAUGGAAGUGGUACCCUUUGAGACCUCCAAUGAAGCUGCUACAACAAAGAGAGGCUUGGAAGGUUUCAUAGUACUGAAUGAAUGCGUAAGCAAUCUCACAGGUAGAUGAGAAGCAAGUGAUGUUUGAAGAAUAGAACGACGGGAGCAACGGGAUGGACGAACUGGAUUGAUCCGAACAUUAACCAGCCCAGCCAUAAAUCUAUAAUUAAUCAUCAAAAGAGAGCAUAUGAUCAUGGAAUCUUAUAGAUGGAAAUUUGUAAAAUGAGAAGGAAAUUGAAAGUGGGGACAGAAGUAUAAGUGCACACAUAUGCCAAAGAAAAUAUUAGAAGAUACUCUUUCUUUUUCGGAGUUCAAUUCGAAUUGUGAAUGUACAUUCUAUAAAUCUUACAUAAUUUAUGAACUCGCAUACCAAAGAUUAAUGAAAAUGAAAUUUCUUUUGAUUCGAGUAUAAAUAAUAGCUGAUCUGACCCUGGCAUUGCAAAGAAUCAUGUGUUCAUUUCAUUCUUUCAGCUACAUAUUCCACAAAAUAAGUAGCCAUGGUUUGUCAAUUACCAACAUCGACAAAUUUCAAUUACAAAGUUAAGAUUGAUUUCAAGAAAUUUGCAACAAGUUAUCAUACAUUGUGCUUAUAAUAUGUUCAAGACGAGUAUGAGGCAUCUCUUGCACCUUUCAUAACAGCAAGUUACAUAGAACAAAUUAAACUCUUUAAAACAAUUCCUAACUUGAAAAAAAAAAUCCAUGGAUUUUAUUUCGUUUCGUCAAAUAAUUCUGCAACUCUAUUUCAGUAUAACUCAAAAUCGUCGGUUGCUUUCUUCCUAUUGUUUGUCAAAUCAGCACUGAACCAACUAAAUCAGAAUCUACAGGAGCAAAAUUUAUACAUAUUCCCUGUAUAAUCCGGAUGUUCCUACCUAGUUCUCGUACUUUCAUUCAAAACAAUUUUGUUUCUAGUGUGUAUAUAUAUAUAAUAAUAUACUAUAUAUAUAUAUUUUAUAUAUUAUAUAUAUAUAUAUAGAAUUGAGCCCUAUGCUUUAAAAGUACCAAGUCUUUGGUGCUUGUAAGUUUUCGGCGUACCUUGGAUUAAAGGGAUGUCGGUUAGCAUGAUGUGGGCCUUCUAGGUUGAUGCUGGUGGUGUUGCAAUAGUUAAUACUGUCUAACGGGUGAAGAAUGAUUCAGCAUGCGUAGAUCUAAUGGAUAGAAAAUUACAAGCCAAUGCUUGGUGCUAUUUAGCUAGCAACCUUAGCCGGACUCUAAUAUAUAUAUAUAUAUAAUAUUAUAUAUAUAUAGUUGACUGGGCUACUAUCGGUAGUCAAUGCUGGUACUCACCAAUUUAUUUUGAGAUGAGCUUCCAAAUUGAUGAUCCACAGUUGACCAUGAGUCUAGACCAUUUUAAAUGUAUCUUAGAAUUUCAUUCGUAGAUUUUGGUAUCCUAAGCUGAACGAUCAAAGGGUCACAAUAAUCUAAUAAUUUUAAUGCCGAUAUGGCGGUUUAACUAUAGAAGAGUUCAAAUUCAUAAAAUUGUUUGUGUAAAGAUUGUUGUGAACUAUUUAAGAUGAAGAGGAGUGACGGUGAAAUCCUCAAUAUAUAAAAAUUGUAUCAUCACUUUUGGAAGGAUAUCGAUUCCAUGCCAUUCAUUUUUGUGUUCACUGUAUGUUAGCAAAGAACCAAUAUCGCAAAAUGUGUUGAAAUUUGAUUUCCAGAUGUUUAAAAGUUAGAUCAUGUAACUUGUCUAUCAUCAAUUUGUCCUAUUCAUCAUAAACAAAUCUAAUAUAUCGAUCUGUUACUACUAAUUCUAGCAAAAUAUUAUAUUAUUUUAAUAUAUAUAUUAUAUAUAAUUAAUGUAAGAUAUAUUUUAAUAUAUAUAGAAUGAGCUUCGCGUAUGGUUAUUAAGUACAAAUAUAGGGUUGUGAUUUUUAGCCAUUGGUAUUAAAAUUAUAAAUAUCAUAGAUUAUGGUGGCCCCCUAGAGUUGAGGUGUGUUUGGUGUAUAUAGUAUAAUCUAUAUGGGUUAAAAAUAAUCGGAUGAGUAUAUAAUCUGUGAAUUAAACACAAGCACUAGUCUGCUUUACAAGCACCAACUGGAUUCAUAUAUAUAAAUGAAGUGGAUAUAUAUAUAUAUAUAAUAUAGAUAUGUGGAUCUAACACUACAUUAAUACACAUACACACACACAUAUAUACAUAUAUAUGUGUGUAUAUACACACACGAGCUAGGCUGGUAUACUAUCGGUAGCACGGAAGCCUCUAUGCUGCCAAGUUGUUUUCAAUGAUGUCGCUUCCAAAUCGACAAUCGGCUCCGUUAAACUUGAUCUACACUAUUAAAAGUAUUUGGAAACUAAAUUUCACAAUUUUCCACAAUUCUUGGAAUAAAGUGAAAUAUACAAGAGAAAAAAAAAAACACAGAGAAGAUAAAAGUUUUAAUAGCAAAACAUGAAAAGAUAAUAAUUUUAAUCAUAAUUCCAAUAUAAAAAGAAAAAUGAAAAAGAAGAAGAACUAAGAAAAUCACAGAUGUAAGGUUUUUUUCGUUGAAGCAAAAGAUCGAACACCUUAAGAGCGUCUCCUUUGCAAUCGUAAACAAAACCAUUCAAAUCACUAGGCACGAUUCAUUAGUGACAAUAGGUACAUGCGACAUUCUAAAAUCAUUCGAAAACACUCCCGCUAAUCACAAAUUCACGGUAAAAAUAUGCACAAAAAAAAAAUGAAAAAAACGGUGCAAAAACGGAAUUAGAAAAGCGUUUUUGAGCGAUGAGUAGAUAGAAAAAAAUUAAAAGAAAUUGAAAGAUCCCAAAUUGCAAACCCUAACCUCUCUUUUCGAUCUCUCCGCGCCGAGAAAUGCGAUCCGAGAUCCCCACGAAAUGUAAGGGGAAGAGAGAGUGUGUGUUCGUGGGGCGUGAAUAUUAACGCUUCGCACAAUAUCCGACCGGUCCAGUUCGGUCCGGUUUGGUUCGGUCGGUUUGGUUCGUUUCGUGUUUUUGGGGGUAAAUUGCACAUUGGGUCCUCAAACUAUGACCGUGUUGACACUUUACUCCUCAAACUUUAAGUUGUUGUAAUAUUGGCCUCUAACUUUUACAAUUAUCGCAAUCAAAUCUAAUUCAAUUGACUAAAUAUUGAUAUACCGCUAAUGUAGAGGUGAUAUAGCAAUAUUGUAAUUGAUGAUUGCAUCAAUGAUGUGUUAAAAUUUAGUCAACUAAAUUAAAUUGUGGGACUUAAUUAUAAAAAUUUAAAAAAUUCAAGCUAAAUAUUAAAAUAAAUUAGAGUUUAAAAGUGUCACAAGCCAAACGGGUAAUUACCCCUUUUUUUCCUUUUUCUUGUGCCAAAGAUGUAUAAAGACCCAUUAACUAUAGGCUCUUCUGAAAUAGCCCUCUCCACUCUUUUUUUUUUUUUUUUUGAGUGAUUGAGAGUAGGGGCAAAAAUUUAUACUCAAAAUCUAGACGAUAAAUAUUUAUCCAAUUUGAAAAAUCUAUUAAUUACAAUAAAAAUUAUGGAGUCAGUGUAAAUCAAUGUUUGCCAUAUUAAUGCCAUGCCAGGAACGAAAACCUUGCCAAACCUUACCGCAUGACAAUUUUUGUUAAAAUUAGCAAAAUUUCUAAUGAUAGUAACUUAAUUGAAACAUGUAUUAAAAGUAAGGGACCUCAUUGCAUGGAGAAAAAAGUUGGGGACCAAUAGUGCAAUUAACCUUUGGAGAGUAUUAGGGUAGGUUUGUGAUGUGGAUAUUAUGGUAGGUAUGGAAAAGCAAUCUCCCAAGUAACACUAAUUAUUAUUCUCUCCACCUAACUUUUGUGCACUUUGACAUAUUUGAGAGUCACUGCUUUACUUACCCAAAAUAUUUCCUACGAUUUUAAUAUCAAGAAAGGUAAAAGUAAAAAAGAAAAAAAAAUGCAAUGUAUAUGCAGAGAUUUUUUGAAAUUUGGCUUCCAAAUUCAUAAUUUUGAUCCAAAUUAAAUGAGUUCAGUAGAGCUAAUGGACGCACUAACAAACCAUUACGACAGUCAAUUCAGCUUGAUGUUAGUGAGCCAGCUUAUAUUCGGCUCGAAAUGAGCUUGAGAUUGACCGCUCGUUUAAUAAACUAGUUAAACAUGAACAGGAUUAGCUCGCUCAUGUUCAGUUCAAUAUAGCUCUCUCUCUCUCUCUCCCCUAUAUAUAUAUAUAUAUAUAUAUAUAUAUAUAUAUAUAUAUAUAUAUAUAUAUAUAUAUAUAUAUAUUAUUUGGAUUUUAAACCAAUCCAAAUGCAAAGAAACAUAUAUUUUUUAAUAAUUAGAUUAAGAUUUUAAGUUUUUUUCAAUUUUUCGCCGAGUAAUAGUACUAAUAAUCUAACUUACUGUUUGCGAACUAGAUUGUGUUUGGCUUGUUGACAGCCCUACUCUGUAAAAACUCAAUUUUGAUUCUGCGUCUCUCUUUAAAUAAAAACUUUUAACUAAUUAGAUUAUAAAUUUCAGAUUAGCUACAAAAGUAGUAAAUAAGAAAAGUAAGAUGCACGAUCAGGAUGAAGCAUUCACAAAACUUAUUUGUUAGUUGGUAGGAUGCGAAUCGGUUUUGCACUUUUGAUUAUUAUUUGAGUAGUUAUUUAUGUCUCAAUUACAUUUUGUGAGUAGAGGAAUUUUUAAUCUUUAUAGAUUAUAUUUUAAUAAAUGGUAGUUUACACAAGAUCAACCAGGAAAUUUGAGUCCCCUAUUUUCCUUUUUCAUGUUGUUGGAAUUUUGUGUCAUUGUUGAUGAGAGGGAGUAUUUCAUCUUGUGUCGAAACCCAAUUUUGAAUAUUUGAAAAUCAAACCUAAUGGCCAAUUUCUUAUAUGUUAGGAUUCGUCCAUAUUGGGACUUUUCUAAAAUAUUUCUAAUCCAUAUGGGGUAAGAAAUAAAUAUUUAUAAUUAUCUGUUAUAUUUCUAGCCCACUUGGGAUAAAGAAUAAAUCUAACAGAUAAAUCCUAAUCUGUUUAAAUAGUUGGAAUAUGAUUAGAAUUAAUAUCUCCCUUAUGGCCUAUAAAUACAUGAGAUAUUGACCACACACGUGAUAUAAAAAAAAUAAGAAUCAUCUCUCCAUAAAAAUUCUCUCUUGUGUUCGCUCUAGGGCACCAUCUGAAACCCUAGAGAUUUGGGCGGUGUGCGGCGAUCGACUCUAGUAGCUGGAUUGCAACGAGUAAGAACAAUGUGCAACAAAUUGAGACAGGACGUUGGCGGAUCAACGAGUUCGUAAAAUAAGACGAGAUUCGAUUCUGAUAAUCGUAAUACAUUCCGCAACAAAAGAGGUAUGUAAAAAUCUAUAAGAUUUUUGCGAUUGAUUUUUGGGUAUUUAAUUAAUUUUAUCCAACAUUAUAGAAUUUCACUACUUGUGGAUAGUUUUCGUGGUUUAUUGGCGAAUUUGAAGUCUACUUUAUAUUUAACAUGAAAAAGUACUGCGUCGAAAAUGAAACGAUUCUAAUUUCAAAGUCGAUGAACGUUGACAAGACUAAUGAAAAAGCCGAACCGAAAUCAACUUUCAUAGUCAAAAACUCAAACCCUAACGACUCAACUCGAAGUGAUCUAAAACUUUUGACACAUUGAACUCGUACAAGAGCUACAUAGACCCUAGACAACCAGAAAGCAAUUUGAAGUCUACUUUAUAUUUAACAGGAAAAAGUACUGCAUAGAAAAUGGAACAAUUCUAAAUUUACGUAAUCAAAGUCGAUGAAAGUUGACAGGACUAACGCAAAAACCGAACUGCAAUCAACUUUCAUAGUCAAAAACUCAAACCCUAACAAUUCAACCUGAAGCGAUCUAAAACUUCAAAUACACCGAACUCAAAUAAGAGCUACGUAGACCCUAGACAACCAAAAAGCAAAUAGACUGAAUCAAAUCGUCUAAGCUCAACAUAAUCCAAAUGCAAACAACUUAAAACUCAAGAUAACCAAAUCUUGAACCAAAUCGAGCUAAAACGACUAGAAAAUUUUAGACAAUCUAAAUUCGAAUGAAAAACCAUGAACCCUAGACUCUAAACCCAAGUAACCUAAAACUCUAAGCAAUGAAAAUCCAAUAUGACCCGACCUAAUCUGCUAGUGUGUCGCCUAUUUUUAUGACUUGAAACCAAAUAAUAUGCUGAGCAAGCCUAUGUUUAUGACUCAAAUUAAGAUGGAAUGCUUAAAAAAUUAAAAUAGGUGAAUUAAACUUUUUCAUAAUUAAAUUUUUAUAAAUUUUAAUUUGCUAAUAAAAUAUAAGUUGGAAUAGCUCAGUUGGUUAGAGCGUGUGGCUGUUAACCACAAGGUCGGAGGUUCAAGCCCUCCUUCUAGCGUUUAAAUUUUAAAUUAAUUUAUAGAGAGUUUUAGUUUAAAUUUUAAUUUUUAUUUUAAUACAAUUUAUAGUGAGUUUUAAUUUUGUUUUCACUACACAUUUUAUUGUGAUGGUGUUUUUAAUUCUGGUUCCUACAUAUUACUUUCCUGUUCUUAUAUUCUAGUUCCUAUAUUUUUUAUUUUGUCUUAACUACUUUUAUUCUCUUGUAUGUGCACUUUUAAUUUUGUUCCUUACCAAUUUAUUUAUUCUUAUAGCAUAUUUCAUAUUGGUUUUAUUAGUGGUGUUUUUAAAAUUUUUAAUUUUUUAAUUUUAAUUUUAAUUUUUAUUUACUUCUAAUUCUGCAAGCUUCUUAGAUUUCACUCUACAUUUAAAACUUAGCUUCUAAUUUUGUUUCACUAUUUUAACCUUUAAAGAAGUUUAAUAGCAUUACUUCUUUUUUUUUUUUGGGUUGUAUGUGCAAUUUUAUUUUUGUAUCUGAGCACUUUAAAUUUAUGUGUAAUUAUUUCACCUACAAACCACAGUUCCACCUAAUUUUUACAGCUCACAAAGCUACAAAGAAUACAAAUUUCUCAUAACUUUUAAUCUAAUCUCUUACAUAUUGAUUUUUUCUAUGUUCAACUUCUAGCAAUGCAGUUCAUGCUUGAAUAUUAUCAACACAUCUACGCAGACGCAAAAUUUGAGCAUUUGAUUCAAUUUAUAACAAAAUCGAAAAUUAGAACACAAUGAAACAGUUAAAUUCAAAACUAGAGGUAUCAUUUACAGCAGAGAGUGUAUCUUGUCUCCAUCUCUUCUUUUCGACAAAUAAAUCUCCACAAGUUUUGUAUACAAUAAACAGAUCAAUGCUUUUGCAGACAAAGUAUCUUUAAAUGCGAACUAAGUAAGGGAAGAAGAAAAAGAGUAAAAUGAGAUUACAAAAAAAGAGAACAAAAAAGAGCGCUUUCGGAUGCAUCACUAUAUAAAAGGCAAUGUUUCAAAUUUAAUAUCCAAUGAUAUGGAUUCAUCACAAAAGAAGCAACAGAAUAAUUUGCCAAAUACAAAGAAGGAAAGGAGCCUAAUUUGAAGGAUUUCAUGAUUAUAUAUUUCUUAUUCAUUCAUGUAUAAAUCUCUAUAUAUUAAUAAAGUUUGAUCCCUCACUGAUGUGGAGAGGAAUUCACCCAUUUUAAAUCUUCUUUAUGGUAUCAGAGCCUUUCCAAGAGAAUAUCACCUUCUUUAUGGUAUCGAGAGUCAAGAUUUACUUGGUUUCAUCACUGGAGAAUCAAAGCCACCACAUCACGAAGUACCUUCAUCCGACGAAAGUAGCCAAAUUCAAAAUCCAGAUUUCACAGCAUGGACGCGCACAGAUCGUCUAGUGAAAGCUUGGAUCACCGGAACUCUCUCCGAAGAAGUCCUGGGACUUGUCGUUGGUGUGAAGACUUCAGCAGAUGUAUGGCAAGCUCUUGCAGAUGCAUUUUCUCAAAAUUCGCAGGCUCGUGAAUUUGAAUUACUCUCAAAACUUCAAUAUAUGAAGAAGGGUACGUCUUCCUUAUCUGAAUAUUUACGAGAGUUUAAGUCGAUUUGUGAUCAAUUAAAUGCUAUUGGCAAACCUGUCUCUGAUCAAAGCAAGGUUUUUUGGCUCUUAAGUGGACUUGGACCACAGUAUGAGUCUUUUGCCACGGCUAUGUUAAAACCACUAGUACCAUCUUACUCUGACUUAAUUCCUUUGCUUCAAAGUCAUGAAUUAAGAAAUAAAGGACACGAAAGUAACCCAACAAACCACUCCAUGGCCUUCAUAAGCCAAAGAUAUGGAGGUGGCAUAGAUUUGAUAACAGCUAUCAAGCAGAGGAUAUUCCACAAGCCUUAGCGGCAAUGCAACUUGAAAGCGCUCAAGAUGAGGAAUGGUUUCCAGAUACGGGAGCAACAGCGCACAUGACAAAGGAUGCAGGUAAACUUGUUAAUUUGAAGCCAUAUAAAGGAUCUGAUUCAGUUAUAGUUGCAAAUGGGGAUAAAUUGAAUAUUUCUCAUAUUGGUGAAACUAGAAUUACUAAUGGAAAAUCUAGUAUACCAUUAAGAGAGGUGCUAUUAGUCCCAAAUAUACAACAAAAUUUAUUAUCAGUUUCACAGCUUACUAAUGAUUAUCCGUGCCAGUUUGAGUUUCGUAAUGAUGGUUUUGAAAUUAAGGACUUGAAGACAAAGCAGGUCCUAGCAUCGGGAAGUAAGCAUGGAGGUCUUUAUGUCUUUAAUAAGCCGAAAGUUCAAGCCUUCUUUUCAAGACGUUUUUGAAUAGCUGAUGAGGAUGUAUGGCAUAGACGAUUCGGUCAUCCACAAGCGAAGGUGCUGCGGUAUCUUGUUUCAAACAAUUUGAUUUCGGUCAAUAAAAAAUCUAGUAGUUUAUGUACGAGUUGUCAAAUAAGCAAAAGUUCAAGACUUCCUUUUUAUCCUUCAAAUAAUCGAUCGACUCAGGCAUUAAAUAAAAUACAUUGUGAUUUAUGGGGACCGGCUCCAGUUUCUUCAGUGCAAGGUUUUAGAUAUUAUGCUGUGUUUAUUGAUGAUUUUUCUCGCUACUGUUGGUUUUAUCCUCUUAAGAGAAAGCUGGAUUUCUUUAGUUGUUUCGUUGCUUCUCAAAAAAUGGUUGAGAAGCAGCUUGAUAAAACAAUAAAAAUAUUUCAAUCAGAUGGUGGUGGAGAAUUUAUCAAAAAGGAAUUUCUUGAUCAUUUACUUGAUAGAGGUAUUGUACAUCAGUUAUCUUGUCCAGGAACGUCGGAACAGAAUGGUGCUGCCGAACGCAAACACAGGCAUGUGGUGGAACUCGGAUUAGCUAUGCUAAAUCAAGCUAAUGCGCCGAAACAAUUUUGGGUUGAUGCUUUUGCAACAGCAAAUUUCUUAAUUAAUCGACUACCGUCUCCGGCAUUGGGUAUGAAUUGUUCUUAUACUGUUUUAUUCAAUAAACAACCCAUUUAUACUAUUCUCAGAACCUUUGGAUCUCGUUGUUAUCCAUAUCUUAGACAUUAUGCUACAAAUAAAUUUGAUAAUAGAUCAUUGCCAUGCAUUUUUCUGGGAUAUAGUGAGAAACAUAAAGGAUAUCGAUGUUUGUAUCGGCCAACAGGAAGAGUUUAUAUCUCUCGUCAUGUUAUUUUCGAUGAAAAUAUUUUUCCAUUCACUUUAACAACCGACGUCCCUAAUACAAUAGCAGUGCAAGAUGAGCCAUCUAUUUUUCAUGAAUGGAAGCAUCCUUGUGAAAUAGAAAAUACAAUGAAUCAACCUUCCUCAAAUGACUCCGAUAGAGCAAGGCUCUUUAAUGAGUCCCCAAUACAAUCACAUGAUGAUGUUUCUAUUGCUUCCUUUACUCAUGAUCAAAUGCAUUCUACUGCCCAAGAGAUUCAUUCUGAUUAUGAAAUGACUGCACCAUUUGAUCAAGGCACAUUUACUAUGCCUACAUACAAGGACCCACUUCCACAAGAAAGUCAAGUAUCACCAUCUCAUAGCAUGGUAACUAGAAGUAAAGCUGGAGUUUUUAAACCAAAUCCUAAAUAUGCUCAUUUAACCAUCACUUCCGCUAUCCCUGUAGAACCCAAAACUAUUAAAAGUGCCCUGAAACAUGAAGGAUGGAAGCUUGCUAUGAUAGAAGAAAUGGAUGCCUUAGCUGCUAACAACACUUGGGAACUCGUUCCUCGCACAACUGAUAUGAAUGUGGUAGGUUGUCGAUGGGUUUUCAAAACCAAGAUUCGACCUGGCGGAGUUUUGAAUCGUUUAAAAGCUCGACUCGUGACCAAAGGAUACAGCCAAAAAGGAGUAGAUUUUUUUGAGACAUUUAGUCCUGUGAUCAAGCCAGCUACUAUUCGAAUAAUUCUUACUAUUGCAACUAUUAAGCAGUGGCCUAUUCGUCAACUUGACGUUAAAAAUGCAUUUUUGCAUGGGCAUCUCCAAGCUCCGGUCUAUAUGGAGCAACCACCUGGAUUUGUUGAUUCUAAUCGACCUAAUUAUGUUUGCAAGCUUCAACGAGCAUUAUAUGGGCUCAAACAAGUGCCUAGGGCUUGGUUCGAUCGCUUGAGCUCAUUUCUUCUUGACUAUGGAUUUUCUUGCAGUGUUGCGGAUUCAUCUCUCUUUGUUUAUAAAAAUGGUGGUUGCACUAUUAUUCUUUUACUAUAUGUAGAUGAUAUUAUUCUAACUAGUGACACUCCAUCUCUUUUGGAUGAUUUGAUUAUUACUCUUGAAAAAUCUUUUUCUAUGAAGGAUUUGGGUCCGCUGCACUAUUUUCUUGGCAUUGAGGUACAUCAAACUCCAUAUGGUUUAUUUUUGUCUCAAUCUAAAUAUGCUUAUGAUGUUCUUACUCGUGCUCACAUGCAAUCAUGCAAGCCGGUUGCUACACCAAUGACAACUAAACCAUUUAUGUCCAAUGAUGGUGACUCUCCAUAUCAAGAUGUUACACAAUAUCGACAAAUUGUUGGAGCAUUGCAAUAUUUAACCAUUACACGACCGGAUCUUUCCUAUGCCGUCAACACCGUUUGUCAUUUUAUGCAUAAACCCGCGAUCAAAUACUUUCAUAUGGUGAAGCGCAUCCUACGAUAUAUAAGUGGUACUAUUAACCUUGGCUUACGAAUUUUUGCUAAAAGUGGGCUUAAUCUUUAUGCUUUUUCUGAUGCUGAUUGGGCGGGUUGUUCCACUACUCGUCGUUCAACCAUGGGUUUCUGCACAUUUUUGGGUUUCAAUUGUAUCUCAUGGAGUGCAAAGAGACAACCAACAGUCUCUCGUUCUAGUGCGGAGGCAGAAUAUCGUGCAAUGGCUUCUACUACUGCGGAACUUAUUUGGAUUUCCUUCAUUCUUCGCGAUAUCGGUAUACCUCAACCUCAUCCUUAUACGCUAUUUUGUGACAAUUUGGCAGCACUAUAUAUGAUGGUCAACCCGGUAUUUCAUGCUCGCACCAAACAUAUUGAAAUCGAUUAUCAUUUUGUUCGUGAGAAGGUGGCUCUUGGAUCACUCAUAACUCGGUUCGUUUCCUCUAAGCAACAAUUGGCUGAUAUAUGUACGAAGCCUUUACCC